UCAUGCAACAAGCUUGACAUAUUGUUCUGCUGCAUCUUUGGUACAGAACCUUGCAUAUUCAUUGAUUGCAACUGGGGAUUCAGUUGAUUUUCAUGGGACUGCAAUUGAGGAGCUUGAGAUUGGGGUUGCUGCAUAGGUUGAAUAUGAAGUUGGGGAAGUUGUCCUUUCUGUAGAUUAAGAGUAGGCUUCCUGUAUCUGCUUGGGUUUAGAAAACCUACAAUCUGCUUCUCAUAGAAACCCAAUUUCUCCUUGAAAGUAGGUGUGAUGUUGUUUUUAGAGACCUGUAAGAAUGUUAUCAAGCGCUCCAACAUGACCUUGAAUACCUUCAGCUUUUCAAGCUGUUCUGACUUCGGUUGUUGCGGAAGAGGGUCAUGCUGGAAAGCAAAGUUAACAUACACGAGAAUUAAAAAUUGCAUUGACCCUUUGUAGCAAAACUAGUAAAACAUAAGUGAAAAAAAUGUUUCUAUUCCAAUUCUUCUGUGUCAAUGCAUGGUUGUGGGGUGGUUGGGGGUGGGGGGGGGUAAUUAGUGCAGAUGAUACAGUGACAAGCAAUGCUGAUGGGGAAAACAAAUUAAUACAAAAGCUCAACUGUGGGGGUUUAUGAAUCAUGUGUGAGCAAAUAAAUCAGAAAAAAUUACAAAGACAAUUUACCUGCUGUAACUUGGUAGCAAUUCUCUGGUACAUUUCAUUUAUUUCAGGCAAAUACGUUUCCUUCAUAACUUUGAUCUAGGAAGUACAUAUAACCAGCAAAACAUUAUCAAUCAUAUGCUUGAUUUCUUCAGGUGCCAGAGUCAGAAAGCAACAUAAGCAAACUUGAGAGAAUUGAUAGAUAAAUAAAUAAAAUGGCAGAGGACAGCAUAUAUUGUUUGAGAUAAAAAUAGCAGAGUGGAAUCAAUGCUGAAAACUCAUAGAGAAUAUAGUUAUUGAUUGCAUGCAAAGAUGCAAAGGAUUGUGUAGUUACCCCUUCAGACAAGAUUCAGGGGUUGGUCAAGUUCAGUUACUUUGUCUCACGGCAACCUACUCACCAUUGUUUUCUAUUGUUCUCACUCAAGUCAAUGGAUGUCACGACUUUGGUAAACACUUCUUAGCUUUAUAACUUUAGAUUUAUAACCCUUAUAUCCUAAUUACAACCACUCCUAUUCCCGUUUUAGUACCCUCCCAGGCACAAAAAAAUUGACCUCAUCAAAUAUGCAGUUAUGAGUUGCAACUACAGCCAUUAAACGAUUCAGAAUUUCAACCUCGUUUUCUAUAAAAUUCAACAAUACUGGACAUGGUCAUGAUUCAAUGGAUUAGGUCCACUUAUUUUCCUAUCUUCCAUUGUGACAUGUUUCAGAACAAAUUUGAUUGUAAUCUUGAAAAUAACUGUUCACUUAACCAAAUAUAACAAUGACUAUUCAGAAACAGUUCACUCUUGUUUUCAAGUCUGUCUAUUAUAGUACGAAGUAUUGUCAAUUGGACUUAUUGGAAAUAAUAAAAUAAUAAUUCACCACACAAUAAAUGUAUGGAAAUACAGGGAAAAAAUUGAAAGGGAGAGAUUUGCAAUAGAAAAAAUUGUCGUGUCAGUACCAAGAAAAUAACCCUCUUGACCUAGAAAUCUGAAUAUUUACCUUUAAUCAUCUUAUCAGUAAUUUAUCGUUUCUUAGUUGCUGCAAUCAUGGAACUUACAAUGCUUCCUAACUAAUCACAACCAUAGCUGAAUAAAACUCCCUUGUACCACAUUGACAUCUUGCAAGACAAUGACAUACAUGAACAGUAAGCUAAAGAAAUUACCUUUUGAUAGAUCUCCUCUUGCCAAUCAGCACCAUUUGCAUGUCCAGUCUCUGCUGUAGAAUCUAGGGAUGCUACAAAAAUUUUGAUACAGCCAACAAAAGAUUAGAAUGCAUGUAUGUUUUGAAUGUUUUCUGCACACAAGGGUAUUUCUGUAAUUUUCACACUUGCUGAAAAUUAUGGAAUAUUGUAGGUCUUGGUUUUAUUUCUAUUUAGUAUUUUAUUGUUCCUAAAGAAUAAGGAGCUUUAAUAGGUUUUCCCUAUCCUAGAUAGAACCAUUAGUGUUUUCUUACAUAGGAAUACAAGUCCUUUUUGGACUUGGAGUACUAGGGACACUAUCUCAACGUUAUGUAAUCAUUCAAACAGACAGAGAGACCCCCCUCCAACAAGAGCAUUACUGACUUGAACCAUUAUUGUAUUUUCAAGAAAUUUAAAUAAAUAUGUUAUAAUCUAACAUGAAAGCACAAAGCUGCAAAAUUAAAGUUGGAGCAAGGUUAGAAAGCUGCAAGGAUGAGAAAAACUUACUUGAGGACGUUUCUGGAAGGGCUCUUUGAGGUUGAUAUAACUGCCUUUGCUGAUCAAUCACAUAUGACUGUUGAAGCAAGGAGCCUGAUGCUUGAAGCCUUAGCUGCAGAUCAUGUUGUAAUGGAUUUGAUUGUUGUUGCUGAGCUCCAAGCAACUGCUGUUGCUGUAAACCAGUGACAUUACUUUGAGAGCCCAACUGUUGCUGAUGCAUGCUUGAGAGGUUAUUCUGUUGAGCCAUUAACUGCUGCUGCUGCUGCAGAUUUUGAAGGUUAUUCUGCUGCCCUAGCAAUCUCUGCUGCUGCUGCUGCAAGUCCCCAACAAUGUUUUGCUGUCCAAUUAACUGAUUUUGCGACAUGUUAGUCGUAAUUGAUUGUUGCCCCAUUAGCUGCUGUUGUGGAGGCAAUAGUGGCUGCUGCAUCAUUGGUGUUUGCUGCUGAUGAAUACCAGCAGACUGUUGAGGUUGUUGCUGCUGCUGCCUAAGGACUGAUUGUGGAUGUUGCUGGUGCAUUGGUUGUGUUGACUGUUGAACAGAAGAUGGUUGGUUCUGUUGAAGGCCAGAGACAGUUUGCAUCAUUGAAGGCUGCAUAACAGUUGAUGUUUGCAAACCAGAUUGCUGAGAAGAUUGCAACUGAUUUGGCUGUAACAAGUUUUGCUGCUGCUGCUGGUGGAUGUGAGAUUGCACAAGUGAGUGUGGAUGAUUUCCCUGUUGAAGAUUCUGCUUUAAAAGCUGUUGUUGUAUCAGCUGCUGAUAAAGAUACUGCUGAGGAUUUUGGGACUGCUGCUGUUGCUGUGGAGGAACAACCUGUUGCCUGCCUGGCAUUUGUCUCUGAGAAUUGACAAACAUAUUGGAGGGAAUCCCUUGUCCCAUUGAAUUCCCGAGAUACUCUGCAUGUUAGCAUUCUGUCCAACAGUGUUUGAGAUAGUCUGGGUUAAACCGGAGACAGAAGGCAUUGCUGAUUGUAAACCAGCAGAACUUUGAACUCCAUUAGAUGACAUAAUAUUCUGCAUGUUCUGUGAUAACUGCUGACGUGCUUGAGACUGAUUAGUGGGCAAUGAGAUAGGGAGCGACUGCCCUUGGUUGUGAACUUGAGGCGGCAUACUAUGAGAUGCUGUUCAAAAUAAAAGGCAAAAAGGAAAACCAUGUCAAAGGAAAAAAAGGCAUUGAGCAAGAAAAACAAAUGAAACAAUGACAGUUCACACGUAAAGUUAUGAGGUAAAUAAUUAAGAUGGUUUUACCUCAAAGCAUAAAAGUACAAAAAUAAUCUGUAAUUUUUUUGAACAUUCAUCAAUUACUCAACUUUUUUAUUAAAGCAUGGUAUAUACAUAGCAAUAUGCAGCAAUAAAAUGUAAAAGAGUUUGAUAACAAUGCGAAUUAUAAAACAAAAGGUAAGGAUGUUUAGAAAUUCAAUGCUUGGCUGCAUUAUUACCUCCUGGAUCCAGGGGUUUGUUACCAUUGCCAGUGGGUAUGGUAUUUUGAGACUUGGUCUCCAUUGUAAGCAUCUUCAGAGAUAUUUUACGUAGAUAAUCAGACUGAAAUCAGAUAUCAAUAACAAAAGAUUAGAUCUCUGCACAAUCCAUGUUACAAGAGAAGGGGGGAAAGGGAUUUAUGCUCUUUCUAAUAUGUUAGGCUAUUUUUAUUUGCAUCUUCUGUGAGGAUAUACUUCUGUGUCCUCUCUUUUUAUUUAAUUAUUUAUGUAUUGAUUCGUUAUUUGCAUUUUGCACACUUCCCUUGUACUUGAAAAGGACCUUGGUCACUCUAAAUAAAACACUUGCCAAGAGAAUUAACGAAAAGAUGAGAACUUCUACAAAAUGACCAGUGAGGAAGUGUGGACACACUACACACACAUGUGUACAUGCAUAAAUCCACAAAUUAUGCAUGUGUAUAUUCAUGUCUAGAGAAUAUCCAAAUUAUUGAACCUAGCAUUAGCCGAAUACCUGAUUGGUAGCAGCAGUAUAAAUCUUUUCCUCAAACCGUACGGCAAUUUUCUUGAGUUCUUGUAAUCCCUCUUGACCAGAAAACGGAAGAUGCCUCUUUAACAUCUCCAUUCUACACAUGUAAAACAUUACAUUUAGUUUUUAAUGACAAGGCAGAUAUAGAGAAGUUAGCUUCUUCGAUCAACACCUAUAUUUUAUGCGAGGAGUAGCUUCUUCUUCUUCUUCUUCACAAAGGAUUACUCCAAAAAUCUUGGCCGAAUAGCUUGAUUCUUUUCCGAGCUUGAAUUACCAAUUCCAGAUCUUCAGCUCCCUUCAUGUCCACCACAGAGAAGGUGACUUCAUCACCUUUUUUGAGAUCCCUUUUUUUUGGCGAACUCAAUCCAACCUCAUGAAGACAGGACUGGUUUAAGGUGAUCAACUCAGUUUUUUGUCUUGUACAACAUCGGAACCUCCACCUCUUGUCAUGGAUGUCAAUACGUUCAAGCCAAAACUAGAAUACCAAGAAAGUUAAUUAAUUCAUUAACUUUUCAGAAUGUUCUCCCCUGCACUUGGCAGAAAAGGCCUCUUUCUUAUACAUGGAAGGUUAUUUUGACUAGUUAAAAAAUAUUAUUAUUUUAAUAAAAAUAAUUGGUUUAUAUCGAGAUAUAAUAUGAUGACCUUAAGGAUUUAUCCAAUUACCCUGUAAUUUUUUUUUUCUAGAUAAAUUAAUGGGUUUACAGAUAUAAUUUCAAACUCAAACAAAUCGAGAAAAAGACGUAGUAUACUUCCUUAGGUAUGAGGACAAAGCUAUUAUAAUAUUUAAAUAUUAUUUAGUCAUUGCAUUGCAUUGAUAAUGUAAAUAUUUUUUUCUUUCUUUUCUAGAAACAGACAACCUAAAGAUCAAUAAAUCUGAGAAACGAACGACGAACCAGCAAACUGACGUUACAACUAUCGACUAGUGGCUCAACGUCGCAUCACUUUAGCUUUACCUUUAGAUCAUUUUUCUCUUAUAUGUUAUUUAAUUUAAUUGUAUAUAUUUAUAUACUUAUUCACUAUGAGCUUGAUUGAUUAGAUAAAAAAGAAAUUAGCAAAAUGUCCUAAAACAAUCUUUUAUCCCGAGGAUCUAUCUAUUUAUUUUAUUAUAUUGUGUUAUUAUGCGAGUUGAAUUAAAAACAAAUUAAGUAUAAAAGAAAUAUUAAGAUGUUUAGCAUUUAUUAAAUCCGAUUCAACAAAUUAAUAUUAAAAUUUUCUAAUCUAAUUUUUUUUCUUACUCAAGUUUUAAAUUUAACUAUAUAAAAGUUGUUUUAAUAUGUUCUAGUCAACUUAACAAGUCUGAAAACAACCCAGAUAAUAGGUAGAAAUAUGGUUUAAUUUAAAUUUUUUUAUGUAUUUUUUUUGUAUUAAAACAACAACAUAUUAGAUCGAUCGAGGCUUUGUGGCUUAACUUGUUGAACUCGUAAUCCUACUUAUAAACUCCAUUGAAUUUAAUAAAUUUGUUUAUGAUUGUUUUGUAUAAGGUUAUUGUAAUUUUAAAUAAACUUUCUGGUACUUAGUUUAUAUUUAAUUCUAUAAAAAUCUAUUUUAAAAUUAAAUUUCCCAUUGAGUUUUAGAUAAUCAAUAAGGUUUAAGUUUCUAAUAUUAUAUUUCUAGGUCAGAAUCAAUUCUUUUUAUUAAAAAAAUAACAUUGUUUUGUUUAAAAAAUUGAUCUAGUUAACCCAAAAAGUCACAAGUAAAUCAACAAUUCAACAAAAUAGAUUUUUAACAUGAUCAAAACCAGAACCAGGUUGGACGACCACGCCAUAAAUUGCAUCUUAUUUUUGUCUUUGCAAUACAAUAAUACUUACAAACAAUAAAUAACUAAUUUGACAAGUCGUGCGAUUCACAUGGAUUGAACCCCACAUUACACACGGAACAGACAACACAAUAACCCUGACCAUGCUCGACCUUGAGUUAAGUUGUAAAAUGUUCUUCCUAACUAGAUGCACAGCUACGCCUUAGGGAGGGAGGGAGGGAGAGAGAGAGAGAGAGAGCAAAGUGAAAUACAUGACUUUAUUCUUAUUUACUUUUUAAUUUUUUUUUAAAUUGAUUAUUUUAAUUUAUUAUAUUUGGUUUUUAUUUUUUUAAUUGAUAUUUAUUUUAUUUAUAAUAAUUUAUAAAAUUAUAAUUAUUUUUUUUAAUUUUAUUAUCUGUUAUGUGAAGCUAUAUCCCUAUAUAUAAAAAAAAUGAUUUGACUGUGCUUGGGAUUGGGUGUAUGCCUACAUACUUAGUUUUCUAAACAGGCCUUGAUCUUUAUUAGAGCAUCUCCAAUCAGAGAGGCAAAUGAAAAGGCAAAAUUCAAAAAGUAUUUUUUUAGUUUUUGUUUUUCUAAUUAGACAUUCCAAUGCAGCAGCUAACAAAGAAGCCAAAAUGGCUAUUUAGCUUGAGAGGAGCUAUUUCUACAUGUUCCUAUAGAAAUAGCCACAAAAAAAAAAUAAGUAUUUUUUUUUCUUUAAAAACAAGGAAAGAAACUUGUUUUUGUUUUAAAUUUUUUCAAAGCAUGAAUUUUUUUUAAAAAAAAUUGAAAAUCAAAAUUUAAAAUAUUGAUGGUUUUUUUAAAGUUUGAAUUUAAAUUUACUUUUAAAAAAUUAAAUUUUUAACAGUAAAAUAUAAAAUUAAAAAUUAAAAAUAUUCAUAUAAAUAAAUUUUAAAUUUAAUUUUAAAUUAUAUCUUUUAACUUUCAUAUUAUUUCAUUAAAUUUUAUAUUAUUUUUAUAAAUUACUCAUAUUAAUUAUAUAAUUAAUAACAUCAUAAUUAUAUUAUAUAUAAAAUAUCUAAAUUAGUUACAUAAUUAUAUAAAAAUGAAUUUAACAUGAAAUAUAUUAAAAUAUAAAUGGCUUUUCUAAAUAGCUUUUUACCAUUGGAAUGCAUAUAAUAAAAAAAAACUAUAUUUAUACUAUUCAAAAAGCCAUUUUAUCAAUUUGGCUUUUUGCAUUGGAGAUGCUCUUAGGGCAGAAAAUAAGCAACGUAGCACUAACCUUCUAUUCAUGUCUUUUUCCAAAAAGACUUUGACUUGUAGUCUACUUUCUUAUCUUGUUUGUUUGUUUGUUUGUUUUUUUUUUAAGUAUUAUUAAAAAAAUUAAAAAAAUUUUUUAUUUUUUUUACUUCAAUUUAAUAUAUUUUUUAUGUUUUUAGAUUGAUAUGAUAAUAUUAAAAAUAAUUUUUAAAAAUUAAAUAAAAUUUUAUUUUGAUGCAUUUUCAAGUGAAAAAUACUCUGAAAAACAACAACUACCACACUCCUAAACAUUUCUAAAAAAACUACAAGUUUUUUGUUAUUUACAUUUAAAAAAAUUAAAAAAAAAUAAUAGCGCAGCUCAGCCUCCUUCCACUCAAAGAUGCCUUCUCUAACCUUCAAGCGUCUCUUUUUUUUCUUUUUCUUUUUUUUUUCUCUAGCUACGCAUAUGUCAUUGCGGCAACAAUUGCUUACUAGGGAAAACAUUAGCUUUUUAGCUUCCAUUGGUUUAGCCAUGCAUUGCCUCUUUCAUUUCUUAACUGAUCGAUCGUUUUUAACAUUCCAUGUUAAUUUUAUAUAUAGAUGUAGCUCUCAAAUGUACUUGGAAUCAGCAAUUUAGGUUACAUGAACAUCACCCUUUUUCUCACAGAUACAUAUAAAAGAACUUUGGCAUGCUUAAUUGUCUUACUAUGGCUUUGUCUAAAAUAUGAUGAUUGAUCUUUCGCUUAAGAGUUACUUUCCAUGCCAUUGUUCAUUCUUCUCCCUUUCAAUUUGCCUUAGCAUUUGUUGUUUCCCUUUCAAUUCUUCUACUUUUUAUGAUGUUCAAAAGAAAAUUUUCCACCAACUACUUUAAAUGUUAUGUUCAAAGGACAGUAGUUCCACUGUUACUUUUAGCCUGGAGUUCACGAGGAAGCAAUGAGAAACUAGAUUUGCCUUCCCUGCCUUUCCAACUUCCAUAAACAGUUUGAGUGGCUUGCACAAUAGAUAGCUUUUAUUGUCUUUUUUCUUUUCAUUUGUAAUUCACAACAAUAGAUUGGAUCUGAUUAUCUUGGUCCGGAAUAAACAUGAAAAAAAUAAAAAGAAAAAAAGAAACAUACAUUCUCUACUUUAGAUGGCUUGAGCAUCGUUCGUUAAAAAAACAGAUUGGGUCGGAUUAUCUUGGUCUGAAUUGAAAUUUGCAAGAAAAAAAUACAGAAACUUGCAUUGUCUGCUUUAGAUGGCUUGAGCAUUGCUUGCUAGAUUUCAUUAAUUUCUCUUUUUGCAAUGAACUCUUGCAUAUCUGACAGAUCAUGCUACUUUUUUCACGCUAUUAUUGUUCUCUAUUGAACUGCCAAGAUUAUUGGUUGGAUAAUGGCCACUGUGAUUAGAGAAACUGAAAUAAUUUAUAGUCUGCAAGUCUAUAAAUUCAUUAUGGCAGUCAUGUUUUUAUCCAAACAUUGCCAAGAGUCAAGACCAAAGUUAAUCAAUAACAAAAAGAUGAAAAAAACCCCUAAGAUAAAAGUGACAAAAUUCAUGAAACUCAAACACCAAUAAUGUAAUAAAUAAUAAGAUUAAAACAAUCAAUUAAAGAAAAAUUGAAUGAACUCAGAUUAACUUGAUUUAUUCACGACCUGGGAUAUUAAAUAGAAAUAAUCUUAAAAAUAAAAUAAAACAAAUAACAAAGUUUAAGGCACAAUAACCCAAGAUUGAUUAUAAAAAAAAUAAUUAAUUUUCAACCAUAUUGUUCAUCCCCUCAUGUUUGAUGUGCGAACCAAGUAAUUGUUUCUUCCCUGAGACUAAGAGUUAGUGCGUAGCAGAAUGAGCCUUCCUUCUCUCAUUCUGAUCAAUCGUCUUGGAGAGCCUAAGUUCUUGCCUUGAUCAAGACUCCUAUCUUAUCUUAGUUAUUCAACACAUAUGAAGAAAUUUUCCAAAAUCAUUUCUUGACAUAACAUCUUAGUUAUUCAACUGGUUUAGUGGAUUAAUCCGGUUGAAUUAGAUUUAUUUUUUAAUUGAUUUUUUAUUAUUAUUCAACAUUAGAUUAAUUAAAAAUUAGAUUUUAUAAUUUUUUUAUUUGUUUUCUAUCAAGAUUCUCCUAAUAUAUUUUUAUAUCUCAGGUUAAAAUUAUGGGGCAAUUGGAGUUUAAAAAGGCCUUGCAAAAUUGCUAGUGACAUUUUCAUAAUUUUGUUUUGAAAGGUCAUUUUUUGUGUUCUUGUUUUAGAAUACUUUUUUUUUAAUUUAACCAUUCAAUAAUAGGUUUAUUAAGAAUUCGUUUUUAUUUGCUUUGUUUGGGGUUAUUAUUGUCUCAUAACCUGGAUUAUGGAUUUAGAAGGUUAACCUGAGUUGAUUCAGGUUAAUCUAAUAAAUUAUUAUCUCAAUAUUGUUUUUGAAAAUAUGUCAUCUUAAACUUUUUUGAGUCAAACUCUAGUCUUACUAGUUGUUGUCUUUGGACCCAUAAGUCGAUCGGGUCAUAUCGGUUCAACUCUCACUUUUUUACUUGUGUUUGAAAUUUAAAUUACAUAAUUUCAAAUUAGUUUAUAUUUAAAUAUGAAUUGAACUUAUGUUUAUUAAGUUUAUUAUAUAUAUAUAUAUAUAUGAACAGUAUAAUCUUAAAAUAGCAUGCUGAAAUGCUCCGACAUCAAAACAUACCGUUUGAAUUAAAAAAUAAAACACUAUCCGGAACGAGAUUGAUAACCUGACGUUAUAUGUUUAAAAUGAGCAUCAUCGAAUCAUUUAGAGCAACCGUGUACAUAACAAGGGCGUCCCCUUCUCCGUCCAGAGAUUAGGCACUGAAUCUUUCGUUACAGUUAGAGUAGGCGAAGCUUGUCAAUCUUACAAAGGUGGUAGAAUUUGAGGAUUUUUAUUGUUCUUUCUCAUUUUUUGAAUGAAACUGUACUAUCUUACAUAAAAUUUAAAACAACACUGAGAUUUAUACAUAUUCUCUGUUAUUAUUACUUGCUAAAAUGGAAGGAGUAUGGAGAUUUGAAAUUACAAUUGUCGCAUCCGACAUCGCAGUGGCCCUAAAAAAUAAUUCUCUUGAAUUAUUAAUGAAAAAAGAACAAGUUUCUGGCAUCUUGUUUUUUUAGGAAAAAUGGUGUUGUUUGAGGAGUCGCCACCUAGUAUUAUGGUCACUAGGAACCCUAAUUGGUCAACAGAGAUUCUAUGACUCGGGAUUGGUUACGUAAAAGGGAAGAUAUUAUCACCAUUUAAACGUUCUGCCUAAGACAGACUGCAUUGUUAGUUUUGUCUUAAAUUGCUAAAUAUUUAUUAAUUUAUGCUGUGAUGAUUUGUCUACAAUAUUCCUGACUCUAGCGCCAGUGAAUAUUCGAGCUCGAAUAAUUCCAACUCUAGCGUUGGUAAAAAUUCGUAGCUACGACAAAAAUUAGAUCAAUAUAUUUUAUUCCCUACUCCAGCGCCAGUGAAUAAAUAAAUAAAAAUAAAUUUAUUUUUUACGCAUGCACACUUUUUUUUAUUUUUUCUAGCUAAACAAAAUAAAAAUACAACGAAUAAAAAUAAUAUAAAUUUAAACCGAUAUUUUUAUUCCUGACUCUAGCGUCAGUUAAUAAACCAAUAAAUUUACAUUAUUUUUAUUCAUGCAUACAUAUUUUUUAUUUUUUUAUUUUUUAUUUUCUGUUUUUUCUGUUUUUUAUUUUUUCUAUUUUUUUAUUUUUUUUGGGCUGGGUCCAGCUCAGCCCACAUGGGCUGGGCUGGACCCAGCCCGGUCACUGGCCCAAGCCAGUGACCCGGCUGGGCACGCAUGCUGGCAACAGUAAUAAGGUAAGUGUAUUACCUUUGCAAAGUAAUAAGUGAAAUGAAUUUGAAAAGUGGGGAAGAGGAAGAACUUACCUGGUCUGCUGGAGGCGAAGCGUUCUUGUUCUCUGGCUCUUCUCCGUUUUUGUUCGCCUGGCUUGCUCUCUGAUUUAGGAGACGGAGGCGUGAUGGAUGAGCGGCCAAAACUCUGCUUCGGUUCCUUUGUAUGCUCCUGCGUUGUCCUCUUGUUCUUCCUCUGUUUCGGUUUUUUUUCUUGCUGGUUCUCGGUUCCCCUGUUCGUGUUUCCAGUAUUUUCGUCCUCCUGUUUCUGGGUUUCUUGGUCUGCUGCCUUUUCUUCUUCGUCUGUGAGUUCAGUGGUGAAGGGGGGAAGGCGCUGCCCCCUGAGUUACCUUCUCUAUGGCCUUCUUUGGCUUACCAGAGAAUGGCGCCGAGCGCCUCUGUCUCUUUUAGAAGAAACAAGGGCACAAAUUCAGCUCCCCUCCGUACAGUCUCCCUACCCGGUUCUGCUCCCUUUUCUUUCCUCUGGGUAUUUGUUUUCCACCGGUUCUGUGACUCCUUAUUUCUGCCGUUUGUGGCUCUGUUUUUUUUCUCUCCCCCUUAUGCAUGGACUAUCUCUGGCUUUUAUAGCCAGAUAAGAAUGCCGUUUCUUUAAGCCAUGAAUUGUGUUAAUUGCAGGUGUAAUGGUGGGAGCGGCGGGGCGCCCGUUUCAGUCGGGAAGAAGAUGAACAGAAAAGGGAAAACGGCGCCGUUUUUGUGUUUAAUGGCUAUUUGCAUUUUGGACCUUGUAUGUUUGACACUUUUGUAAUUAAGUCCCUAGUUAAAUUGUAAUUGGACCCCUGUAUUUCGGCGCCAUUUUCAUGCUGGUCCUUGGAUUUUAUAUUUUGCAAUUUGGACCUCAAUUAAACUCCAAACUUUGAUAUUUCCUUAAUUAAGUCCUUGAUUUCAUUAAUUUAAUUAAAUCCAAAGUCCAAUUAAGUCUCAAAACUUAUCCAUUCUCCAAUUAAACUCUUAAUUGGAUUAAUUAAAUCAAUUCCAAGUUUAAUUAAGUCUCAAAACUUAUCAAUUCUCCAAUUAAACCCUUAAUUGGAUUAAUUGAAUUAAUUUCAAGCUUAAUUAAGUCUCCAAACUUAUCAAUUCUCCAAUUAAACUCUUAAUUAGAUUAAAUAAAUUAAUUCCAACCUUAAUUAGAUUAAUUCCAAUGUUUAAUUAAACCCCAAAACUUUCAUUCAUAUUACCCUUAACCUAAAAUUUAAUUCAUUCUUCAUUUAUUUCAUUUUACUUCUUUUUUCAUCAUCAUUAUUAUUUUUUCAUCAAUUUUUUUUUAUCCUUUUCAAUAAAUAAAAUAAAAAUAAAAAUAAAAAUAAAAAUAAAAUGAUCAAAAAUUGGGUUAUGACAACAAUGAUUGUUACAAACCAAACUUUUAAAACCGACAAUUGUUCGUUCCUUCCAUUAAGCCCACGUGAUUCAGAUGGAAUGCAAUCAAUCCAGUUUAUACCCAAAGGUGGAGCUUUUCUCUUUCAAUGGUAGUCUUCAGCGGGUGGAGGAUGAACGUGAGGUGGAAUCACCAGGUUCACUGGAUAAAAUCUAUUACGUGUUGAAUGUCAUGUAUAACGGGGUAAGGAAUUAUGAACCUUGAGAGGACGAACAUCUUGAAACUCUUUUAAAACCGUAAUUACUUCUUCAAGUGGUUUCUCUAAAACUUUCUUAACCACUAAAGCAAAUACAACAAACUCUUGAUGAACCUGAAUGUCAAAAUUAUUUGGGCUUAUAAGAUUAAAUCCCUUUCCUUACACAUGCUUUUUUUUCCUCAUUAUUGUUGUUAAGCCUUGGUACUGGUGGUCCAACUAAGUAGAUCUUUCUACUUUUAAGAGUGAAAUAGUAAGAAUUUGACAUACCAAAAAUGACGAUGUCCAUAUCGCAGAGACAUUAUAUACCUAACAUAUCCUACAUUUAUUGGAGUCACAUUACACUCUCAUCAUGGUAACUUGAGAAAGUAAUAGGAAAAAUACAUAUCUCUUUGAUUGGUAUGGAAGUGUUAUUAACCCAUGAUUUUUAUCAAUAAUGUAGUUUAUACCUAGCCCUUUUUGCUUUUUUUUUUUUGGAGGAACGACCGAUGCCCAUUUAACAUUGCAUAGUUUUUUUCCCUCGUUCCCUCCUAAGAACCAAAAAAGAUAUGAUAUGUUUCUCAAUUUUGGUAGCAACAAUGGAUGUGAUAGGAAAUAAAGAAAGGUUGUAGAUAGGGAGAUUAUUUAUAAUUGAUUUAAGCAAGCUUAGUGACGACCUUUCCAGGCAGCCAACUUGCUAUUGAUUCUAUUAACAAUAGUUUUCCACAUGAGAUGAAGAUGCACAAAUAGGCAGGCCCAAAUACUUAAAUGGCAUCCCCUCCAUCCUACAUAUUAGAUUGCUAAAGAAGUAACAAUAGUUCUAGUGAUUGAGCUCUUGUGGAAAUUAACCUUCAGCCUAGAAAUCAACUAAAAACAUCACAUAGUUCUUUUGAUGUUUUGAAGAGAUGGAAAAUCAUAUGAACUGAAGAUGAGUGUAUCAUCUACAAACUAAAAGUGAGUAAUUUUCGGUUGAUCAUGACCAAAACAAAUACCUUUUAUAAGUCCCAAAUCACAUCUGUUCUUAGCAUUCUACUAAGACCCUCAGUUGCUAUAUUGAAAAGAGAUGUUGAUAAAGAGUCCCCUCUUCGCAAUCCCUUUUCCAUAAAGAACUCUACAAGAAUUGAAAGUUUUGUUGUCGAAAUACAUUAUUGUAUCCAUCAUCUCCAUCGUGAACCAAAACCUACACAAGCCAUAACUGCCGAGAUACCUGGGCAGUAAUUGUUGUGCGUGGUCUAGGAUCGUGUGCGAUACCACUGAAAGGCGAGUGAUCCAACUCUCUCUUGGGGGUGCUGGGGAUUGGGGGUUAGGCGAGUGGGUUCUCAAAGCAUCUUUGUUUCUGCCUUUGAAAGAAUUGCAAAGUCUUGAUUUGAAGGCUAAUGAAUUAGUUGGGUGCCUUUGAGAAUCAAGGCUGGUUCAUAUUAUUGUGUUCAGGGGCGGAAGCAGGGGGGCUAGCAGGGGCCCGGGCCCCCCUGCAACACAAUUUGUUUUUUAAUUACUGGGUAUUAGUAAUUAAAUGUGAGGUGAGCUUUAAAUUUAAAUUAAAUGUGAUUUUAUUUUUGAUUUCUUUUGAAUUUAUUCUUUACUACGUGGGAAGGGAAAAAAUAUAAAAGUAUUAUUUUAUAAAAUAAAAAUCAGAGACACCAAUUUACCGUAAUAUAAAUCUUACAGCUGAUCAAAAACAUAAAUAAAAACAUAAAUCACGAGCAAAUUUUUUCUAUAAAAAGAUCAAUGUACAGCCACCAAUUAAUUUGUUUUUCAUCAAACAAAACAAGGUAACUUAAAUUUAAAAUCUAAUUUUGUUUUGUUUUGAAAUGUUUGUUAAUAAUUUGAUGAUAUUUUUUUUAUAUAAUUCUAUUAUUUUUGCUCCUUUUUUCUCUCAGAUUUGCUAGUUCUACCAAUUAUUUUUUUAAAAUUCUUGUUAUAGUUAUUUUUUUCUAAUUAAUUAGAUAUAUUUUAUUGGUUUGUUUUGAUUGUGCUUGAAUUAUAUAUAUAUAUAUAUAUAGCAGAGCCACCAAAAUUAUCAAUUUUUUCUUAUGAUAAAUGUUUUGAUUUUAGGUUGAACCAUGAACAAAAUAAGAAGAAUUGAUUUUUUUUAAAAAGAAAAAAUAUUGAUAACUCAUAGCAUAUUGAACAAACUUUUUCAGUGAUAAGGAUUGUUAAAACAAGACUUCGCAAUCCAUCAAAUGGAGGAUGAUUUUCUUACAAAUUAUUUGAUUGUCUAUAUAGAAAAAGAAAUUACUGAAAGAUUCACAAUUGAUAUGAUAAUCGAUAAUUUCUAUUCUAUGAAAGAACGACGAGCACAGUUAAAAUAAAUAUGUAAAAAUCAUUCUUUAUUAUUUUUUGCUUUAUUUUAAAGUUUAUCAAACAUAAAUAAUGUUUCGCUUUAGCUAGUGUUUCUUAUAUAUUUUGUAUGUUUAUAUUUGAUAGGUAUAAAGAUCAACAACAUUAAAGUGAUAGAUAUAUUAUGAAGAUGAAAUUAACAUUAUGGCUUUGACUUAAUUUGAUAUUGCUCCAAAUAUUUUACCUUUGUUUUACAACUCAUGUACAAUAAAUUAAAACAAAUAUUAUAUCUUGUUAUAUUAAUUUUGGCCCCCCCUAACAAAUAAUCCUAACUCCGCCCCUGAUUGUGUUAUACUAAAAUUAAAAAUGAUGAAAUGGCUGCUGUGUAACGCUACUUAUUUUGCUUUGAUAUUUCUCUUGCAGGCUUUGGAGUGUUGAAGCCUUGUACGUAUUAAUUUUCGCAAGUUCUCCAACUUCAGAAGAUCUUAGCAUGGGAGUACUGAAUUUGUUGUGGUUGCUGGUGAGGGAAUAAGUUGUUUGCUUCUUGCAUUCUUGGCCCAAAAUUGUGUUAGUUCGAAACUUGUCGGCAAUUUUCUUGAAUGUGUCCAGCUAAUGGGUGUUUUUUAGUGUGUUGACCUCAUAGCUUAGCCUUAUUGUUGGUCGUUUCACUCGAGAAGUUUUGUAACUAUAUUGAUCUGUGGGAUCCUAAGUCUGUCUUGUUUAAUUACUUUGUUUUCUUUUUUGCACUGACCAUCAUGUUGGAGUAUUCUUAUCAAGAAGUUAACAAUGAUAUAGUCCAUCCUCAAGUUCAGUUUCUUAUUCAUCUCUUCCUAAUUUAACAUAAAAAAUGAGAAAAAUAUAUAGAAAACUCCUACUAAAACUAACUCUUUCAGCUUGUCUCAAGGUGUAUGCAGUACAGAGAUAUCCUUUAAUGAUGAAGACGUGUUGCUUAGAUCAAAACUCCAUAAACAAUAUUUUUUAAUUAAAAGAUAUAUCAAUAAAAAGAUGGUAAAUUGUAUCUUGGUGGAUAAUAAUUCGACUAUUAAUAUACUACCUCUUAAUAUUAUAAAAAAACUCGAGAUUUAUAUUUAUGUUUAUAUAUAAAAAAUAAUAUUGUUUUGACACACACACAUAAAAUUAGGUUGAUCCAAGUUAACCCGUAACCUGAUAAAAAAUCAUGAUACAAAUCUUACUCCAAGCUAAACCCCAAGUAGUGUCUAACGAGGAUUAUUUGGAAAAAGAUUCUGGAUGCCCACCAGUAUGCAUAAGGAAAUCACCAGGAAAUUACUCAUCUUGGCCAAUAGUGCUAUAAAGAAGAGAAAGUGGAUACCACUUUCUCAUCAAUUACGACAAUAAUUGACUCCCAGUCAAUGUGGUCCAAGCAAAUUGUUUGGUGAGGUUAUAUGCCAACAAAACUAAUUUGAAUAUUUUUAAUGUGGAAAAAAUUAUUAAAUGUUGUAGUGAUAUUAUGUUUUUUUUUAUUUCGAGAUAAUAAAAACAUUACAUUUAGAAAGGUUUCAGAUUAAUUAAAUAGGUUAUGAAAAUAUAAUUGCUUAGUGGUAUAGAUCAUGAAAAUAUGAUUGCUUAGUGGUUGUUUAAUGGUAUAGAAGUAUUAGGUUAACAAUUAGACAAUAAAAUUAGAAGUUGUUAGUUUAAGUAUUUUACAGGGGCUACUGUUUGAUCCAAAAAAUGAUUUGAAUAGAAACUGUUUUUAACCCAAAUUUUAUACAUAGGAAAAGCUUGUUCUCUCUGGUUUUUAAUACCAUAAAUGGUGUAUUAAUCCAGUUUUCACAGAAAUAGCUAUGAUGAAAAUAGUAAAGAAUACGUGGACGGACUAUCUGUUAACAAUACCCAGGAAUGAUUUCGGGGAUUAUUAUAAAUUAUAUAAAAGGAAUUGCUAUCUGAAUUAUAUACAUGGAUGAAAAGGUAAUUGAGACUAGUUUACAACCCAAAAAGCAUAAUAGAAUUCUGAAUGCUCUAGGAGCUAUGAUUAGUUUAUUAGGUAGCAUGUAGUUAACAAAUUAUUGUAGUUAAGUGUUGGAGGGAUUUUAACAGGUUAUAUGCUUGCGAAUAGGUUUUCUGAGCUGAGAUUUCAGACCAGGCAAAGUAGAGAAGUUAGUAGCAGCGAGCAAGAACCAUGAACUCACAAACCAGACCAAUAUCAGAAAUGUGAGGAAUCAUUAGCAAAAAGUUAAAAAAAUAAUAAUGACAUAAGCAAGUGUCGGUCAAGUAAUAUACAUAGACAUCUUUUUUUACUUCCUCCAGAGGUACAGAGUAUAGGAGUUUACUUCGCCACCAUUUUGUCUAAAAAUUCUAGCUACGAGCUUCAUGGUUAAUUUUCUUGAAUUGAAAAAACCUUUCAUUUAUGGCUAUGCUCUAUAAUAUGUAAGUGAAUUAGUUGCAAACCAGGGGAGUCUAUGUGAAAACAUUACAAUAGCAUUUACUCUGAGUAAGAACACCUCCAUGCAUGUGCUGUAAUUGACAAAGAAAAAAAGAGAAAUCCUUUCAAUUUAUGGAAAUGCAAUGAGUUAACCUUAUAUCACACUGCAAUAUAUACUCUACAGUAUUGAAGUAUGAAAACAUUGAAACGGGAAUAAAGAAAAUAAUUCAUCAAACAAUAUGAGGGUUGUUUGGAAAAAGAUUCUGGAAGAGACCACCAGUAUGCGUAAGGAAAUCACCAGGAAAUUACUGCAUGGUUGCUUUUAAAAAUCAAAAUGGUACACAGCAAGUCAAGCAUCCGCGUUCACAACCUUUUAAUGCUUGAACUCAUCUUAGCCAGUAGUGCUAUAAAGAAGAGAAAGUGGUAUAUCCACUUUCUCAUCAAUUACUUAAGAUUCGUGGAAGAUAUGAUACAGGAGAUAAGAAAAUGAUUGCUAUUAUCCACAAUUUCUCUGUUAUAUAUAUAUAUUAAAGAACUCUAAAAGGCGUGGGGAAAACACUGUAGCUUCCCCACGCCUUUUAAUUAUACUUAUAUAUAAUAAUAAUUAUAAUUAUAAUUAUAAUUAUAAUUAUAAUUAUAUUAUUAUAUAUAUUAUUUUUCGUUUUUAUUUUUUUCUAUAUUUGUUUUGGUUUUUUAUGCCUUUAUGGGUUUUUUUGGCUUCUUUCUUAGUUUUUUUUCCUUUUCAUUUUUUUUUGUUUAAUUUAAUUUGUUAAUUGAUCCCGAAUUUGACGGGUUAACCUGGUUUGAUGAGUUAACUAGAUAUUUUUUUAUUAUUAUUAUUAAUUUUUUUCAUUUAGUUUAGUUUGUUAAUGUUAAAUUUCUUUCUAUUUAAUUAUCAGACUUUCAUGACACGUAUUCCAAGCUUGACAGCUUAACCCGGUUAAUUAUGGGUUAACCCCGUCAAUUUUUUUUUUCUAUUUAAUUAUCAGACUUUCAUGACACGUAUUCCAAGCUUGACAGCUUAACCCGGUUAAUUAUGGGUUAACCCCGUCAAUUUUUUUUUCCUAUUUAGUUAUUAAACUUUCAUGAUGCGAAUCUAAUGUUUGACGGGUUAUCCUGGUUUGAAAGGUUAAUAAGAACUCUAAAACGCGUAGCUUUUUCACUGUAGCUAAAAUUGUUUUUUUUUUUGUUUUUGGUUUUUUUUUUCUGUAACAGUUUUUCCUUCUUUUUUUUUUUUGCUUUUGCUUUUGUUUUUUUUUUUAAUGUUUUUUCAUUGUAGCAGGUUUUUUUUUUUUUUUUUUACAUGUUUUUUUUUAACGCGUGGGUUUUUAACUGUAGCGGCUUUUUUUUUUCCUCACUUUUGUUUCUUCUAUUUUUUACAUAUAAUGUAUCACUGUGCACAUAGUGAAACACUUGACUUUUUUUUUCCUUUUUGUUUUCCUUUUUUUUCCCGUUUUCCCCAUGGGUUUUUUUUUUUCCCUUUUUCUUUGUGUUUUUUUUCUUUUAAUGAAUUUUUUUUUGUUUAAUUUAGUUUGUUAAUGUGAAAAAAAAAUUAAUUUAGUUACCGUACUUUCAUUACACGGAUCUCGGUUUUUUUAUAUAUUAAGCUGGUUGAGAACUUAGCUUUAUAGCUUUUUUUUUAAAAAAAACAUUAUGGAUUACUACAGUGUUUCCCUUACAGAUUUUUGUUUCGCUGCAGUGUUUCUCCCACAUGUUUAUUUUUUAAAUUAUCUUUGUUAAAUUUAUUUUUUUAAUAUUGAGUUGGUUGAGAAUUUAGCUUUAGCUUUAACUUUCCCCACGUUUUUUCAUUAUAAUUAUUAUUAUAUUGUAUUAUAUUAUAUGAUUGUUUUUUUUCUUUUCUUUUUUCUUUUUAAUUUUUUUUAAUGAAUUUUUUUUGUUUGAUUUAGUUUGUUAAUGUUAAUUGUUUUUUAUUUAGUUAUCAUAUUUUCAUGAUACGAAUCUCGGGUUUGAUAGGUUGACCUGAUCUGACGAGUUAUUUUUUUUCAUUUAGUUUAGUUUGUUAAAGUUAAUUUUCUUUCUAUUUAAUUAUCAGACUUUCAUGACACGUAUCCUGGGCUUGAUGGGUUAACUUGGUUUGAUGGGUUAACCCGGUUAAUUCUGGGUAAACUCAUCAUUUUUUUUCUAUUUAGUUAUCAAACUUUCAUGACGCAAAUCUCAGGUUUUACGGGAUAACCUGGUUUAAAGGGUUAACCCAAUGAAUUCAAUUUUUUUUCUUUUUCUUCAUUAGUUUUUUCCUUUCUGUUGAUUUUUUUUCUUUGUUUUUUUAAUUAAUCUAUUUAAUUAUCACACUCUUAUGACACGAUCUUAUAGCCAGAUCCAGAUCCAAUAUUUUUGGGUCCGGUGUUACAGUCAGGCUCACUUAAACUUGGGUCAUGCAAGUUUAAUUUUAUUAUUAAUAUUAUAAAUAUUACUCUUAGGUCAGACGUUGCAGUCAAACCAAGAUUCUUGGGUAUAACUUUGCAGAAAAACCCAAGAUUUUAAAAAUUUUAUUUUUUUAAUAUUUUUUAUACAAAAAAAAAUAACCCGCGGCAUCGUGCGUCCAUUAGAUAAUCAAUAAUAUUGUAUAUAUUCUUUUUGGAGAAGUAACUCAUCUUCACACCCUUCUUGUAGUUUUCCAUUCAUUUUCACACCCCAGUUGCCACCUGCUUUUCUUUCCACUCCCGCACACAAAUAGUGCAAAAAAGCACUACGACAAUAGUUGACUCCCAGUCAAUACGGUCGACGCAAAUUGUUUAGUGAAGUCUUAAAUUGUUUGGUGAGGUUACAUGCAAUGCAAAAAGGCGGAGUCAGAAAUUUUUUUGUCCUGGACUAUUAAAUGAAUAUAUAAAUAUUUUUUAAGAUCGAUUAUUAACUCAUGUAUAUGAAUUUUUGAAAUUAAUAAUAAAGUUUUAAUUUAAAUAAACUAUCCAAAAUAUUAAAAAAUAAAUUUGAAAGCACAUAAAAUCAAAGCGAAAAUAAAAAUAAACUCACUAUUAAAGUUACAUCCUUUAAUGUUUUGUAGAAUAUAAUUCAUCUAUAAUCGAAUCUAAAUCGAUAUUGUAACAAUCCUUCAACCAGGAUAAAAUAACAAUCUCAUAUCAAUUGGAAAAUAAAAUUAUUAAAAUUUUUUCCUCUUUUAAUUCCUUCUUCCUUCACUUGAUUCUUCCCUGAAUUAGUGUUUUAUAAGUUGGACUUUGUAAGUUUACAAGGUUAUUCUCUCACUUCUUAAUUUUUUUCUUGGAAUUAUUUUUUAUGUUUUUCCCUUACUUUUUUCUAUUUCUCUCUCGCCUUUUCUAUUCUUUCUUCUAUUCUGCUUCUGCUUAGUCAGAAACAUAUAAAAGGAAGGAGGAGCUGAUUUGUUUUAUUUUUUAAUAGCAAAUAAUCAUUUUACUUUUAAUGAGUCAUUUUGUUUUUAUUUGACGAUUUUUUUUUUGUUAGCACUACUAAGCUCCUUUCAUCCUAAAAUCUUAACUAGAUUUUAUUCAAUAUAUUUUAAGAUCCCUCGUAAAAUUUCAACUCGAUCUGAUGGUCGGAUUGAAAAUUACGUCCAAUAACGUAAAACUGAUCAAAUUGUGUUUUUUCAUCAAAUUUCUAAAUUUCUCCAAAAAUUCUGAAAUUUUAACCUAAUCUAAAGCAUCAUAUUAGAAGGCUCCACAUAAAUUUUUAAAAUUUUUUGAUAACUUAAUUGAGAAUUAUAAAAAAAUUUUACAUAAAAUUAGUUAAAAAAUAUUGAUAAAAUCUUGACCUAGGCUAAAACCCACCCCAGCCUUUGCCAUGCCUCCGCCUUUGAAUAUUUUUCCCAACCUGGCGAAUAGACUAAGAGCUAAACAAUAAAAUAAAAUAAUAUUCAAAUCUCAAAACAUGUAACUGCACAAUAUAUGCAGAUAAAGUCAUGGAAAUGACCAAAGUGUUAUAAAAGAGUGUCUUGGGAACUUACAGUAGAUUUCGUUGGAACUCUUGUCUCAGGACAGUAGCAUAGCUUCUUGAAUCUCCGUUGCUAAUCGGAACAGGGGAGCAACGAGAAGCUUGGAGUGGUCGCAGAUUGUCUUUGUUUUGCUCAUGAGGCUGCCUGUCGAAACGCUGAAGAUUUGCCCGCAUCUUGUAGGAAUCAAACCAAAGCUCCUUUUAAGAAAAUUUAAUGACCAAAAGGACGAAAAUCAUAAAAAUCUGCCUUGUGUUUAAAAGAAACACCUCCCUUCUGUUUCCUGAACAUGUCAGGUCAUAUUUUAGGCUUGAUCCAAUAUAAUUUAAUUUGUUGUAAACUUUAAGUGUAGAUAAAGAGGCUUAAGAGUUUUUGAAAGAGCUUCCUUGCUUGGAAUUUUAGUUUGUAGCAAUCGCCUUCUAUAGUUUUGUAAAUAAAAUGAUGAAAUUUGAGAGAAUUAGUUUUUCUAGAAAUUUAUAGGAUAUAAUUAAUAACUUGACUUUAAUUUAAAAGGAUUAAUGGACAUCAUAAAAUUUCAACUAAUAUAUAUAUAUAUAUAUAGGAACUGCAUGGCCACAAAAAAAAAAAAAAAAAGAGUAAGACUUCGAUCAUUGAUGAGUUGUUUAUAUUGGAUGUAAAUAUAUUUCAAACAAUUAUCCACAUCCAAAUUAAGUUAAGGGUAUGUUUAUAAACAUUAAAUUUUUUACGAACCUCCUUAAUUUUCAAUUGAAAUCUUGAAGGAUAACACAAGUAUAUUUCAUUUUCUGACAAUAUUAGUGUAAGGUAAAACUAUAGAGAAAGUGAAGAAAAUAUUAGAGCAAAAGACAUUUUUCCAACCCACUAAUCAAUUCCUUUAAAGAGGAAGAUUCUCUAUUUCUUGAAAGGCUAAUUUUGCACCUUUUUUUUUCUUGCGGAACGCAUUCACACUACAUUUAAAAUUUAGGAAAACUAAAUCUAUGAUUUUUUUUAUAAAUUGAUCUUAUUGUUAUUUUUUUAUCGUCCCAUAUAUACCUUAAGUAAACCUUGCUUUUAAUUAUUUCGAUGAAUAAAACAUUUAUUUUUAAUUUUAUUAUUAGUUUUUUCUUAUUUUUUUAUGAUAAUUGAGGAAUAUAUAUAUUAAUACCGAAAAAACACCCGAAUUUAAAUGAUCAGCCAUUAAAAUUAAUCAAUAGGUGGUUGCAUUCUUCUAACACACUACAUUAAGAUUUAUUUUUUAUACAAGUUGAAAUUAAAGCAUAUAUAUAUAUCAUCCCUUCUCAAGCUUGAGGGGAAAUGGUGCAACGAACCCGUCUCUUAGAAAAAACGUAGAUUGCAAUAAUAAUGUUUGAUUUUGCCAACACUAUUAAAGUUAAAGCAUGAUUUUCUAAACGUGAUUUCCAUAAAGAUAGAAGAGAGGGCUCUGUAUUCAUCAUCUUCAUGGAAAAUGAGCUGGCCAGCGUUAACUUUUUAUUCAUGUUUUUCCACAGAAGACUUUCACUUAGGGUCAACUUGUUGAUUAAUUACUUUUAUGCAAUUCAAUUAUUCUUUCAAUCUUCUCGUGUGAUUCACUAUUUGGGGAUUCUAAAGUCACCUAUUUAAACUUUAGUACAUUAUACAACUAAAUUUAUUCUUUCGUUAAUUAGUAUUUAUUGUACAGCUAAAUAAUUGUGGAAUGGCGUGGUAGUUGGAUCUAUUUGUUUGUUUAUUUUCUUUUGUUUGUGAUUAAAUAAUUCGGGGACAAAUAAAAAAAUAAUCUUAUUGCUAGAGAGGCAUUGGAGCCUUUAAUAUUCUGCAGAGGCAUGGAACACGAUGCCAUGGGAAUGGAAUGUAGUUGUUGACAGCUGGCGUCAACCAGAAUAUUCUAAAAUAUUCUUAUUAUUUCAAAGAAAAUUCUAUCAAGAGGAAUUCUUUAUCUAUUUGGGAGGACAUCGAAGUCAAAAGGGAGUGGUAGCUCAUCAUUUCCAAGAAACUUCUAUCAAGGAACAAAGCUACUUUCGGAGAAUAACAUAAAAUAAAUUUGUCUCUAUUUAUUUGCUAUCCAACCAUCCAGUGUUUGAGACUACAGUUGAAAAAUAAUUUUUAAGAGAUUUGAAUUUUUAUUUUAUUUUAAAUUAAUAUGUUUUUUAUAUUUUUAUAUUAUUUUGAUAUGCUAAUGUCAAAAAUAAUUUUUUUAAAAAAAAUAUUAUUUUAAUGUAUUUUAAAAUAAAAAACAACCACUAUCAUAUUCAUAAACAUCCUCUAAUAGUUGUGGGAACAAGGCACAGUCACAGACAUAUCUAGAAAAGAUAAAGAGUGGAGUUGUAAAUUGUUAAUUCAUCUUAAAAACAUAAAGAGCCCCUCUGUUAUGGCUAAGACAGAUAUUUUAGAGAAAGUGGUGCUCAAGGUUUCAAGUACUGAUUUUUAAAAAUACCGAACAAUUAAUUAAACUAAAAAUUUCAAACUAAUAAAAAAAACUGAAUAAACCAAUUAAAAAAAACAUUUUUCCAACCCACUAAUUAAUUCCUUCGAAGAGGAAGAUUCUCUAUUUCUUGAAAGGCUAAUUUUGCACUGUUUGUUUUCUUGCGGAAUGCAUUCACACUACAUUUAAAAUUUAGGAAAACUCAAUCUAUGAUAUUGUUUUAUAAAUUGAUUGUUAUUUUUUUUAUCGUCCCAUAUAUAACUUAAGUAAACCUGACUUUUAAUUAUUUAGAUAAAUAAAACUUUUAUUUUUAAUCUUAUUAUUAUUAUUUUCUUAAUUUUUUAUGAUAAUUCAGGAAUAUAUAUAUAUAUAUAUAUAUAUUAGUACUGAAAAAACACCCAAGUUUAAAUGACCGGCCAUUAAAAUUAAACGUCGGUGGUUGCAUUCUAACUGUUAGAGAAUAAUAUAAAUCAUAUCUUGAGAGUUUACCUAACAGUUUAAGCUAUUGGGUUGAGAUAAUUCGUUGACAUGAUAUCAGAGCCUUAAUGACAAGGCGGUCACGAGUUGGAAUCUCACCAUCCUCAUUUAUUUGAUAAAAAUUAAACACAAUGUAAUAUGAGUCUGUGCAAGUUUCAAGCCCAAAGGGCUUUCACUUAAAAGAGUGUGUUAGAGAAUAAUAUAAAUCAUAUCUUGGAACCUUACCUAAUAGCUUAAACUAUUUGGUUGAGAUGGUUCUUCGACACUAACACACUACAUUAAGAAUUUUUUUUUAUAUAUACAAUUUGAAAUUAAAAGCAUAUAUCAUCCUUUCUCAAGCUUGAGGGGAAAUGGUGUAACGGACCCAUCUCGUAGAAAAAACACUUGAUAGCAAUGAUCUCACGUCAACCUUUUAUUCAUGUUUUUCCACAAAAGACUUUGACUUGGGGUCAACUUGUUGGUUAGUAAAAUCACUUUUAAGGCCCCGUUUUAUUUGUUGGAAAGCAGUUUUUUUUUUGGAAAGUAAAUUCUGGGAAAAUAAAUUUCAGGAAAGUGAAUUAUUUUCCGAUAUUUGGUAGUGUAUUGAGAAAUAAGUUAGAAAACAUUUUCCAGUGUUUGGUUAUGUCAUGGAAAAUAAGCUGGAAAAUAACUUAUUAAUGUUUUAUUUUUUUCAAGUGUAUUAAAAUAAUAAGGAAAAAAUCUUAUAAAUUAAAAAGUUUAAUGAUAAUGAAAUUGAAAAAAAAAUAUAAUUUCAUAAAUUAUCUCGAAUAAAAUAAAUAAUAUUCAAAAUAAUAGAUAUCAAAAUCUAAAAAAUUAAAAGAUAAAUAAAUUAAAAUAAUAAUAAUUAACAUUUUAUAAAUUAUUUCAAAUAAAAUAAGUAAUAAUCAAAAGAAUGAGGGCCAAAUUUGAUAGAUAAAAUAUUUCAAUUAAAAAAUAAUAAGGAAAAAGCAAAUACCAAUUAUAAAAAUGAGGACCAAAGUUAAUAUAAAAAUUAAAUUCUAAUGGAUGAAAUUGAAAAACAAAUAUUCAAAACAAAAUAUAUAUAGCAAUCAAAAGUUUGAGGACCAAAUUUGAUAUAAUCAGCAAAUAAUAUGACAUUUCUAAAUUUUUCACAACUUCCGAAAAGUAUUCCGCCCAAAAUAAAAGGAAAACAUUUUUCUGGAAAACCAAGCUAAAUUUUUCUUUGACUAGAAAAUAUUUUUCGUUAACCAACUUUUUUAAUAACAAACAAACACAUGAAAGUUUUUAAAAAGUAAUUUCUGGAAAAUCACUUUUCAAAAAAGAAACAUAUCCUAAUUAUUCUUUCAAUCUUCCCGUGUGAUUCACUGCUUGGUGAUUCUAAAGUCGCCCAUUUAAACUUUAGUACAUUAUACAACUAAAUUUAUUCUUUCACUCGGUAUUUAUUAUAUAUUCAAUUCGUUAAUUGUUAGAAAAUACGAAAGAGAUAAAGACAAAUACAAAUAUAUUUAUAACCAGAAAAGUUAGUGAUUAAUAAAAUAUCUUUUGCUAGUUUUGAAUGAUAUCAAAGUUAAUUGUUUUUAGAUGAGUCUGGAUUAAUUCUGUUAAUUUUAUUUUUAAUUUUUGAACUAUAAAAGUAUAAAUAAAUUUAAAAUAAAUAUCUUUUUACAAUAGUUUUAGAGUAAAAUUUGUACUUUUAAAAUAAAAAAAUAUAUAAAAGCAUGUUUUUGAUAUUCCCAUUAUUUUUUUAUUUUAUAUCUUGGUAAUUAAAUGCUGCCUGGUUAACAUAACACUAAAUCAUAAUAAAUAAAAAAUUAAUUGUGGAAUGGCAUGAUAGUUGGAUUUUUUUUUUGUGUGUGAGUGUGAUUAAAUUAAUUAUUUUGAUAAAUGACACAUGUAUUCGGGGACAAAUAAAAAAAUAAUCUUAUUACUAGAGAGGCAUUGAAGCCUUUAGAGCGUUCUCGAGAGUGUGAUUACAGUUGUUUUUUUAAGUUUUUUUUUAUUUGAAAAUAUAUUAAAAUAAUAUAUUUUUUUAUUUUUUUAAAAUUAUUUUUAACAUAGACGCAUCAAAAUAAUUUAAAAAAUAAAAAAAUUUUAAUUUAAAAUAAAUUAAAAAUGAAAUUUUUUAUAAAUAUUUUUAAAACAUAAAAAUAAAAAUGUGCUUGAUAUUCUCCCGAGACAUGGAACACAAUGCCACAGGAAUGUAAGAUAGUUGUUGAUAGCUGGCGUCAACCAGAAAAUUCUAAAAUUCUCAUCAUUUCGAAGAAAAUUCUAUCAAGAGGAAUUCUUUAUCUAUUUGGGAGGACAACAAAGCCAAAACGGGAGUGGCAGCUCAUCAUUUCCAAGAAACUUCUAUCAAGGAACGAAGCUACUUUCAGAGAAUAACAGAAAAUAAAUUUGUCUCUAUUUAUUUGCUAUCCUAUCCAACCAUCCAGUGUUUGAGACUACAGUUGGAAAAUAAUUUUUAAAAGAUUUGAAUUUUUAUUUUAUUUUAUUUUAAAUUAUUAUAUUUUUUAUAUUUUCAUAUCAUUUUAAUAUGGAGAUGUUAAAAAUAAUUUUUAAAAAAUAAAAAAAAUAUUAUUUUAAUAUGUUUUAAAAUGAAAAACAACUGCUACCAUACUUACAAACAUCCUCUAAUAGUUGUGAGAACAUCAAGGCACGAUCACAGACAUAUCAAGAAAAGAUAAAGAGUUGAGUUGUAACUUGUUAAUUCACCUUAAAAACAUACAGAGCCCCUCAAUUAUGGCUAAGAAAGAUAUUUUAGAGAAGGUGGUGCUCAAGGGUUUUAAGUAGGGGUGUUCAAAAAAACCGACCAACUGAUUAAACCGAAAAAAGUUAGAAAAAAUUAACUGAAAAAAACUGAACUAGUAGAAAAAAUCGAAUAAACCGAUUAAAAAAUAAAAAAACACCCGGUCCGGUUUGGUUCUAGUUUAAAAAGGCUUAAACCAAUUGAACCGAACCAAACCGAACCGGUUUCAUUGAAUAUAAAAAAAAGUAUAAAAAAAACAUCCUAAACCUAAAUAGUAAAUACCAUAACCCUACUUUUCCACCCCCCCCCCACCUUUCUAGUUGCCCCCCUUCCCUUUCCUUUUUCCCCAUUCCCUUUCCUUUCCAGCCGCCCCACCCAUACCUCCCUCCCUACUCUCUCUCACUCCCCCCUUCCCCUUCCCCUUUCCAGUCGCCCCCCCCCUUCUCUCCACUCUCUCUCCUCUGUGCUUUUUUCUCUCAUUUUUUCUCAUAUUAUUGCCUUUCUACUCUCUGCUUUACUUUAUGGCAGAAAACUUAGAUAAAAUCCUUGUUUCUGGUUUUAUUCACAUGUAGUUGUGCUAGCGAGGUCCUAGUAGUUUGCGGGAUGCUAUUGGAAUCUUUGUUAACUUGUAGUUGUGCUAACUUGGAUAAAUCCAGUGAUUGUGUGAUUCGGCUAAGGGAGAUCUUUCAGAUCUCAACCGAAGGGCCUAAGUUCAAAGUUUUCGAUAAAGAUUUUUUGAAUGUGAUUCGGCCAAGUUUAUCCAGUGAUUGUGAUUCGGCCAAGUUUUCUCUUAUUUAAUUGGUUUUGAUUUUUCUGGUUUUUAAGGCUAAAAAACUGACCCAAACCAAACAAAACUGGUUCUCAGUUCGGUUCAGGUUAUAUUAACAAGGAAUAGUAUUUUCCGGUUUGGUUGAAUUUUUAUGUUAAAACUGGACCAAACCGGACCAUGAACACCCUAGUUUCAAGGGAGUUUUCUUUGGAAAACGAAGGUCCAUAAACAAUUUUAUAAGGAGCCCAAAAUUCUCAAUUAAUUAAUUAAUUAAUUAUAGAUCGGUUAACUUUUCGCAUGGUUUAAGUUUUUUUUUAAUAGAAAAAACAUUAAAAGCAUCUACAUAUUACCUUUUAUAUUGAAAAAAUAGACGAUCCGAUUAUAGCAUAACAUGAACUAAAAUGCAUUUUGGCUUUGGUGGUAAUUAAUGGGUAUUUAUCACUUUCAGGUAAUGUCAAUGUUAGAACUAUUGCUUUAGCCGAAGACUGUGUGGUGGCUAAAAUGGCAAAGCUUGUGGAAGAAGCUCCAAACAACAAGUCUAAAACUCGAAGAUUCAUAGACAAAUUUGCUAUAUUUACGGGGGCAGAGACAUAGAGAAGACAGAGAGACUUGUGACCUUCCACCAGUAAAAGGAACUUCAACUUCCCCUCACCGUAGGUUGUUGAUCCAACCAACCAAAUACAAACCCAGAGAAACCAGGACGAACACACAAAAGCCACAUAGAAGGGGAGAACCACAAACAAUAAUACAAAAAAACAUAGAUGAAAAAUGAACAAACACAUAUAAUACAAAGAGAGGCCAAGAGGAACAAGAAUAGAGGGAACAAAAGAAAUAAAAAAAGAAGAGAAAACAAGCAAAGAAAAGCAAGAAGAGAGGUGUAGCGCCGCACCAUGAGGGAGCCUGUCAAAGAACCAUUUUAACCUAAUAGCUUAAGUUGUUAGGUGAGGUCUCAAGAUAAUAUUAUUUUCUAACACACUCCCUCAAGUGAAAGUCCUUUAGGCUUGAAACUUGUAUAGGUCCACAUUACUUUGUGCUUAAUUUUUAUCAAAUAAAUGGGGAUAAUGAGAUUCGAACUUGUGACUGCUUGGUCAUCAAAGCUCCGCUACCAUGUCAAGGAACCGAUUCAACCCAAAAGCUUAAGCUAUUAGGUUAGAUCCUAAGAUAUGAUUUAUAUUAUUCUCUAACACACCCUCUCAAGUGAAAGAUUUUUAGACUUGAAACUUAUAUGGUCACAAUAUGUUUUUUCUUAAGAAAAUAAAGUGAUGUCAUGUGUUAAUAACAUUUAAGGAUUUUUUCCAAUCAAAUAAUCAAAUUUAUUUUAGUUAAAAAGUUUCCAAUCAAUAACAGCAUUCCCAAUUAAAUCAAAGUUUUUCCACGAACCCAUCUCGUGGAAAAAAUGCAUGAUGGUUGGAAAAGAACGUCUCACUACCUCUCCUUGAGGAAAAAUGCAGAUGACAUAACUUUCUUAAGCUUGUGGAAGAAGCUCAAAACAGCAAGUUUAAAACUCAAGGAUUCAUAGAUAAAUUUGCUAAGUGAGACCUCAAGAUACCAUCUCAACCCAAUAGUUUAAAUUAUUAGGUGAGGUCUCAAGAUAUGAUUUAUAUUAUUUUCUAACACACCCCCUCAAGUGAAAGCCCUUUAGGCUUGAAACUUGUACAGGUCAACAUUACCUUAUGCUUAAUUUUUAUCAAAUAAAUAAGGAUAGUCACAUUCGAACUCGUGACCGCUUGGUCAUCAAAGCUCCACUACCAUGUCAAGGAACCAAUUUAACCCAAAAGCUUAAACUAUUAGGUUAGACCCCAAGUAAAAGCCUUUUGAACUUGAAACUUAUAUGAUUACAAUAUUUUUUUUCUUAAGAAAAUAAAGUGAUGUUAUGUGUUAAUGACAUUUAAGGAUUUUUUCAAAUCAAAUAAUCAAAUUUAUUUUAAUUAAAAAGUGUCCAAUCAAUAACAACAUUCUCAAUUAAACCAAAGUUUUUCCACGAACCCAUCUCGUGGAAAAAAUGCAUGAUGGUUGGAAGAGGACGUCUCACUGCCUCUCCUCAAGGAAAAAUGCAGAUGACAUAACUUUCUUAAGCUAGUGAUACUUUUAUGCAAUUCAAUUUUUUUUUUUUUUUUACUUAAUGAUCAUGAUAAACAUGACUUUCUUAAGCUAGUUGUAGUAUGUAGAAUUGUUUUAAUAAAAAAUUAGAAAUAUAAUUUGCAUCCGAGUUAAUACCUUCACAGAUUAAUAUAAUAGGUUUUAAUAUUUACUUUAAUUAAUAUAUAUAAAAUGAAAGAUAUUAAGAGCUGAAUAAUAUUUUUAAGCCAUAUAUGUUUAUAAAAGUCAUUUCUUUUAAACCAUAUGAUAUGUUUACAUAUUUGCAAUAUGUACGUAUUUUGAAUUUAAUAUUAGUAAUUAUAAAAUUUAUCUAGUUAAUAAAAACUAAUCCACUUUUGUUCUCUUCUCUUUCUUUCACUAUAGUACUUUUUUCUUCUUUUUUUGAACUGUCUUGUCUCUUUUUCUUUUUUGUUUUCCGUCUUUCAAUCCUUCAAGAUUCAAAAUACAUAGCAAUUUACAUUAGGAAUAUUAAUGAAAAUUAAAUAUAAAUAGAAAACAAAUAAAAAAAAAAUGAUAUUCUAGUAAAGCAUUUACAUUUCCAUUGAAAGAUGCAUCAUAUAUUAAUUAAUCUAAGGUCCGUUGUCCAUUAAUUAAUCGGUGGUUGCCUUCUAACACUUUAGAUUUAUUUUUUAUGCUUAAUUAUUUAAUUUAAUUUUUUUUGUAAACUAAAUUGAAAUUAAAGCAUAUUAUCCAUUCCCAAGCUUACGGGGGCAAUGGUCUCAUGGACCAUUCUACUAGCCUAUAUCGUGGAAAAAAUGCAGAUGACAAUAGUUUCACAAGAUAAAAAAAAAGAAGAAAAAAGAGGAAAAAAGAAAAAAGAAAAAAAGACAAAGCUGAUAUGCUACAAUAAAAAACAAAGAAACCACCUAAGAUUUCUUAUCACACCACAAUUUGAUGUCAUCAAAAGAUCUUAAGAGGUCAUUUCCUGUAUAAGUGAAGUUUGAAUACAGAAUAUACAACCAAAUAGCAACUCGAUGAAGAAUGGUGGAGAAACAAUCAAACAAACUUAUAAUUCCCUCCUCAAAAACAAUUUUGUUCCUCAACAACCAAAUACCCCAAGUAGUACUACUGGAGAUUAGUCUCCAAGCUAAUCUUUGGAAUUUACCCUACACUGUUCCAGACCAUUACAUAAGUAGCGAGUUUAGAGUGCUCGACAAACAACAUUAGAUACCCCACUAAUCCAAAAUUUUCAUCCAAACACUCCUAGAAAAUUUACAGUGUGUAAAAAGGUGCUUUGAAGUUUUCAAAUCUGAGCUACAAAAGACACAUGAAGCUUGUGUGGCAAGCAAAACAUUCUGGUGAUGGAAAUAGUCUCUAAAUGUCAUUUUUUUGUCCUUUUUUAUAUUAAUUUUUUUUCCAAUUUAACCAUUCAAUAACAUGUUUGUUGAAAAUUGAGUUUUAUAAUUUGUUUUGAUUUGUUUUAUUUGAAGUUAUUAUGGUUUCAUAACCUGAAUUACAAAUUUAGAAGGUUAACCUGAUUGAGUUGACCCGGGUCGAUCCAAUAUGUUGUCAUCUUAAUAUAUAUUUCUUUAAAAUAUUAUUUUAAACUUUUUUGAGUUAAACUAUAUUCUUACUAUUCGUUUAGGUUGUCUUUCGACCCAUCUAGUUAAUCGGGUCAUAUCGGUUCAACUUUUAAUUUUUUACAAUGAUACAAACCUUAAUCCAGGUUAACUCCUGAGCCAGGUCUAAUAAGGAUUGUUUGGAAAAAUAUUCUGGAAGACCACUAGUAUGCAUAAGUAAAUCACCAGGAAAUUAAUUACUGCAUGGUGUUUAAAAAUCAAAAUGGCACACAAUAAGUCAAGCAUCAGCGUUUAUGACCUUUCUUAUCCAGUAAUGCUAUAAAGAAGAGAGAGUGGUAUAUCCACUUUCUCAUCAAUUACGACAAUAAUUGACUCCCAGUCAAUACGGUCCACGCAAAUUGUUUGGUGAGGUUUACAUGCCAACAAAACUAAUUUGAAUAUUUUUAAUGUGGGUAAAACUAUUAAAUGUUGUAGUGAGGUAAUAUUAUGUUUUCUUUAUUUUGAGAUAAAAAAAUACAUUAUAUUUAGAAAGGUUUCGGAUUAAUUAAAUAGGUUAUGAAAAUAUAAUUGCUUAGUGGUAUAGAUCAUGAAAAUAUGAUUGCCUAGUGGUUGUUUAAUGGUAUAGAAGUAUUAGGUUAACAAUUAGACAACAAAGUUAGAAGCUGUUAGUUUAAGUAUUUUACAGGGGCUACUGUUUGAUCCAAACAAUGAUUUGAAUAGAUACAGUUUUUUACCCAAAUUUCAUACAUAGGAAAAGCUUGUUCUCUCUGGUUUUUAAUACCAUAAACGGUGCAUUAAUCCAGUUUUCAUAGAAAUAGCUAUGAUGAAAAUAGUAAAGAAUACGUGGACUAUCUGUCAAUAAUGCCCAGGAAUAAUUUCGGGGAUUUUUAUAAAUUAUAUAAAAGGAAUUGUUAUCUGAAUUAUAUAUGUGGAUGAAAAGGUAAUUGAGACUAAUUUACAACCCAAAAAGCAUAAUAGAAUUCUAAAUGUUCUAGGAGCUAUGAUUAGUUUAUUAGGUAGCAUGUAGUUAACAAAUUAUUGUAGUUAAGUGUUGGAAGGAUUUUAACAGGUUAUAUGCUUGCGAAUAGGUUUCUUGAGCUAAGAUUUCAGACCAGGCAAAGUAUAGAGAAGUUAGUAGCAGCAAGCAAGAACCCUGAACUUACAAACCACACCAAUAUAAAAAAUGUGAGAAAUCAUUAGCAAAAAGUAAAAACAAAUAAUGACAUAAGCAAGUGUCGGUCAAGUAAUAUACAGCAUCAAAAUACACAGACAUCAAAUAGUAAUUUUCUUGAACUGGAAGAACCUUUCAUUUAUGGCUAUGUUCCAAGAUAUAUAAGUGAAUUAGUUGCAAAACAGGGGAGUCUCUGUGAAAACAUUACAAUAGCAUUUACUCCGAGUAAGAACACCUCCAUGCAUGUGCUGUAAUUGACAAAGAAAAAAAGAGAAAUCCUUUCAAUUUAUGAAAAUGCAAUGAGUUAACUUUAUCUCACACUGCAAUAUAUACUCUACAGUAUUCAUGUAUGAAAACAUUUGAACGGGAAUAAAUAAAAUAAUUCAUCAAACAAUAUGAGAGUUGUUUGGAAAAAGAUUCUGGAAGAGCACCAAUAUGCACAAGGAAAUCACCAGGAAAUUACUGCAUGGUUGUGUUUAAAAAUCAAAAGGGCACAUAGCAAGUCUAGCAUCCGCGUUCACAACCUUUUAAUGCUGUAACUCAUCUUCGCCAGUACUGCUAUAAAGAAGAGAAAGUGAUAUAUCCACUUUCUAAUCAAUUACUUUAGAUUUGUGGAAGAUAUGAUACAAGAGAAAGUGGUAUAUCCACACUCUAUAAUGGGUGGCAAGCUCCUUGCUUUUCACGUGAUGAUGCCCCCCUCUUUCUUUCUUUCUUUUUUUUUUUUUUUUUUAAAUCCCUUUUAUGCUUAAAAUCCACCCACUAAGAGCUUGUUUGUCAGUGUGGUUGUGAUUGCUUUUCAAAUAAUUUUUCGUGCCAAAAUACAUGUCAAUGAUAUUUUUUUAUUUUAAAAAAAUUAUUUUUGACAUCAGCACAUCAAAAUGAUUUGAAAUCACUAAAAACAUAUUAAUUUGAAGUUAAUAAAAAAACAAAAUAAAUUUAAAUUUUUUAAAAAACACUUUUAAAACGCAAAAACAAACAGUCCCUAAGGGGUCGGUGAAGUGGCCGCUAACAACAACCCAGAUAAGAUGUUGCUUGUUCUUACAGGGAGAGGAAUCCCAGCUCGAGACAGCAGAAGGGAGAUCGUUUCCCUACAUCUUCAUCAUUAGAGCACAGCAAUAACUCAAAGCUCUACCAUGUCACCAUCGCUUUUUUGAUUGCUAUCUUCGGUUGUUAUACCUACAAAUCCAAGAACAAUAGACAACUUAAACGUUAAUCUUAUUAUUUUCUUUGGAGUUUUUUUUUUCUUUUGCAAAAUAGCACCUAGAAAAAAACAAUAAUACAAUUCAAAAUUUAUUUAAAGAAAUAAUAUAUCCACUUUCUCAUCAAUUACUUAAGAUUUGUGGAAGAUAUGAAUGAUACAAGAGAUAAGAAAAUGAUUGCUAUUAUCGACAAUUUCUCUGUUAUAUAUAUAUAUAUAUAUAUAUAUAUAUAUUAUGCGGAGUUUCAUCCUUUCCAUUAGAUAAUAAAUAAUAUUGUAUAUAUUCUUUUUUUAGAAGUAGCUCAUUUGCACACCCUUGUUGUAGUCUUCUAUUCAAUUUCACACCAGAGUGUAAUAUAAAAAAACUUUUGAAAAGUAUUUUAUUUUCUUUCCAUUCACCCCAGCACUACGACAAUAAUUGACUCCCAGUCAAUAAGGCACAUAAAUCAUUUGAAUAUUUUUCCCAACCUGGCGAAUAGAUUAUGUGCUAAACAAUAAAAUAAUAUUGAAAUCCAAAAAUAUUCCAAAAAUAAAUGAAAUAAAGAAAACAUCUGCACAACAUAGAAUAUGCAGAUAAAGUCAUGGAAAUGGCCAAAGUGUAGUAUAAAUAGGACCUCUAUGGUUGCCCAAAGGCACAUCACAAACAACAAUAUUCUACUUAGUAGUUCAUAGAAUAUUAUCUAAGAUGAUGAUGAAAAGAAUUGGGGCUUGGAUCAUGUUGCUAGCAUUGUUGACUCUGGUUGACGAAUGGCAUGGUCGUUGUUAUGGAUGUUCGGAGGAAGAGAGGAUUGGUCUCUUGGAGAUCCAAUCUUUGAUCGACCCAUAUCGCAUUUACUUGCGAGAUUGGGUGGACGGUAGUAAUUGUUGUGAGUGGCGUGAGAUCGAGUGUGAUAACACUACAAGGCGAGUGAUCCAACUCUCUCUUCGUGGAGCAGGGUAUCCAACUUUCUCUUUUAGUGAUUUCAGCGAUUGGGUUCUCAACGCAUCUUUGUUUCAGCCUUUUAAAGAAUUGCAAAGUCUUUCUUUGACACGGGCUGGAUUGGUUGGUUGCAUGGAGAAUGAAGGUUAGUUCAAUGUUUCUGCACUUAAUUAUAAUCAUAAAAUAAAUGAAGGUCGGUUGGUGUUUAAUGUCAUUUAUCUUGCUUUGAUGAUUCCCUUCGAUCCAGGCUUCCAAGUCCUAUCAUCAAAACUGAGCAAUCUUGACCUGAGUAUCAAUCAAUUUAAUGAUAAAAGCAUUUUGUCAUGUUUCAAUGGUAACCUUUCCACUCUCGAAUCUUUGGAUCUAUCAUUUAAUGAGUUGACAGCUGGAUCAGGUAGCUUCUAUGGUAACCUUUUAGUUAUUUAUUUAGCUUCGAAACAUUUUCUUUUCUCCUUCUCAUAUCAUUUUUUUCUACGCAUUUAAUUAUUGCCUUCCAAUAUGCUCUUGAGGAACAUCAUGCAGGUCUCAAGGUCUUGUCAUCAAGGUUGAAAAAGCUGGAGAACCUUGAUCUAAGUGGGAAUCAAUACAACGAUAGCAUUUUUCCAUCUCUAACUGGAUUUUCAUCCCUCAAGUCUUUGGAUCUAUCGGCUAAUGAGUUGACAGGAUCAGGUAUAAUACACAGUUUCUACCAAAAUGCUCACAUGACAUUCUCUUAAUUAUAUUGUUACUUUAUCAACAAAAAUGAGGACUUUAUAUCUAUUUAAUAAAAACUAUCAAAAAAACUCUCUAAUACAAAUCUCUAGACAGCCAAUGAGAGACUGCCGAUUUCUUUAUUAGAAAAACUCUCGACUGUUUUAUCAAUAAAGAGAACAACAUAAAACCCACAUUUAAUUCUACAACUAAAUAUAUAUGUAUAAUUUGAGAAUUAUAUAUCUUGUAGGUUUUCAACUCCAACCGAUGAGGCUGGGAAAGUUAGAGAACCUUGACCUGAGUGGCAAUCAAUUGAACAGCAGUAUCUUAUCAAUUCUGAGUGGGCUUUCAUCCCUCAAGUCUUUGGAUCUAUCACAUAAUAAGUUGACAGGAUCUAUCAAUAGUAAGUUACAUUCUCUUUAUCAAGAAAACAUCAAUUGAACAACAACAUCUCGUCAAUUCUAAUUAUAUUUAGUUUCUAUAUAUUAUGCAUAUCGUGAGCUCAUAAUUAUGACUUACUCUUAGAAACAACUCCUUCCUUAAUUUAUGCACUGUAUAUUUUUUUAUGUAUAAUUUGACAAUUAUAUAUCUUGUAGGUUUUCAACUCCAACCGGUGAGGCUGGGAAUGCUGGAGAACCUUGAUCUAAGUUGGAAUCAAUGCAAUGAUAGCAUUUUUCCUUCUCUUACUGGAUUUUCAUCCCUCAAGUCUUUGGAUCUGUCAGGCAAUGAGCUGACAGGAUCAGGUAUAAUACACAGUUUCUACCUAAAUGCUUCACAUGACAUUCUCUUAAUUAUAUUGUUUCUUUAUCAACAAAAAUGAGGACGACUUUAUAUCAAGAAAAGAGGCACUUGGAAUUAGGUCCAAGAGGCAUAUAUUUUAUUCUUAUUUUGGCCCUUUUAUGCCAAAAGUGUUGUAAUAUUUAGAUUAAAUUAGCAAUCAGAAGUUCACUUCAAAACUCUCCUAUAAAUAUAUGUUUUAUAUUUAUCUUUUUAAAUAAAUAUAUUUUCAUAUAUGUUUUUUCUGUCUUGAGAUACUUAGUCAAACACAACUCUUAAGUAUUUUUUUUAAUGAAUUUGAGUUUGAAUGGGUUUUGAAUAACAUAAUAAGAAGCUCUCUCCUAGAAUAUUAUAAUUAAGAAAAUUAUAAUUAUUAAAACUUGGAUGUUAACAUCAAUUAAAAAAAACUAUCCAAUACAAAUCACUCCUGUUUUAUCAAUAAAGAGAACAACAUAAAACCCACACAUUUGAUAUGUAAUUCUUGUUUGUGGCCAUUUAUUAUUUCCUCUCUUUUUAACCAUGGUUUUAUAUUAUUUUGGACCUUUUUUUAAUCAAAAUAUUAUUCUGCGGUGGAGGGAUAUAUUGCCUUAUGGUCGUGGUGAAUGGUGAAAUAUUUGGAGUUUGAGAAAUAAAACGUGAAAAAGUUUAUAAUUCUUUAAUGCCAUGGAUAAAAUUGGGAAAGUACUUGCUAGAAAACAAAGGCAGUUAGGAACAAAUUAUAAUUACUAAAUUAGUGACAACUAAACAUCUUACUAACUAAAUAGAUAAAGGAAUUAAGUUACGAUUAUUAUUCUUGUUUUAAUUACCGAUGAGUUCUUAAUUAUAAGUUUCUUUAUCUUGUUUUGUAAGUCUAUCAUAACUUAGCUUCCAUCUUUUUAAUUAUAAUUUGAGAAUCAUAUAUCAAUUGAACAACAACAUCUCAUCAUUCUAAUUAUCUUUAGUUUCUAUCUAUUAUGCAUAUCAUGAGCUCAUAAUUAUGACUUACUUUUAGAAACAACUCUCUUGCAGGUUUUGAGAUCAUAUCAUCACAUUUGAGGAAACUCGAGAACCUUGACCUGAGCUAUAAUACAUUCACCAACACCAUUUUCUCACAUCUGCGUGGACUUUCUUCUCUCAAGUCUUUAAAGCUAUCAUAUAAUGAGUUGAUAGGAUCGACGAUUGUCGAUGGUAAAGUUCUGUUAUUUACAAUACCUUUUGAAAUCUCUAGAUUUUUCUGGCAAUUUGUUGGUUCUAUCCAAAAAUCAUCUCUCUAUUCAAUAUCAGUUCUCUCAAGGAUACUAAUUUAAGUCUUAAUUACUAUUAUUGAAUGGAAUGGCUAUUCUGUACCACCACUAUUUUCAUCAUAUCUCUUCUUCUUUCUUUCUUUUUAACAGGGACUUUCUUCAAUUCUAGCACCCUUGAAGAAUUGCAUCUAGCUAAUACUUCUCUCCCAAUAAACUUUCUCCAGAACAUUGGAGCAUUGUCUGCUCUUAAAAUUUUGUCUGUUACUGAAUGUGACCUUCAUGGCACCCUACCCACUCAAGGUAAAUUAACAACUCUCCAUCCUAAGUGUUUUGGACUACUUGGAAUUUUUUAGUUGAAUAGAAGAUUCUUUCAACACUAUUUUGACUGUUUCGAGAUAAAUUGUACAGGUUGGUGUGAAUUGAAGAAUCUGAAGCAGUUAGAUCUCGCUAGAAAUAAUUUAGGAGGUUCUCUCCCAGAUUGUUUGGGUAACUUGUCAUCUCUACAACUAUUAGAUAUUUCUGAAAACCAUUUUAUUGGAAAUAUUGCCUCCAGUCCUCUUACCAACAUCCUAUCCCUUGAAUUCCUUUCACUAUCAAAUAACCUCUUUGAAGUUCCCAUUUCAAUGAAGCCUUUUAUGAACCACUCAAGCCUCAAGUUCUUCUCCAAUGAGAACAACAUACUAGUAACAGAACCUGCUGCCUUUGAUCAUUUGAUUCCAAAGUUCCAACUAGUCUUUCUAAGCUUGUCAAAAACAACGGAAGCAUUCCAUGUAGAAAUUCCCGACUUCCUCUAUUACCAAUACAACUUAAGAGUCCUUGAUCUCUCCCACAACAUCACCGGAAUGUUUCCAUCAUGGUUGCUUAAGAACAAUACACGAUUGGAGCAACUAUAUCUGAGUGACAACUCCUUUGUUGGUACUUUGCAGUUGCAAGAUCACCCAUAUCCGAAUAUGGCCAAUUUAGAUAUAUCCAACAACAACAUGAAUGGUCAAAUUCCAAAAGAUAUUUGUUUGAUCUUUCCAAAUCUGAGGAUUUUAAGGAUGGCUAAGAAUGGAUUCACAGGUUGUAUUCCUUCUUGUUUAGGAAAUAUUAGCCUUUUAAAUUUAGAUUUAUCCAACAAUCAAUUGUCUACAGUAAAACUAGAACAACUAACAACAAUACAUUAUCUUAAUCUAAGUGGGAACAACUUUUGGGGUCAGAUAUCAGAUUUUCCAUUACAUGGGCGGAAAGCGUGUAGUGUAUUGGAUUUGAGUAAUAAUCAAUUUUCAGGCAUGCUUCCAAGAUGGUUCGUCAAUUCUACAAGCCUUAAAAUACUUGAUUUGUCCAAAAACCAUUUUAAGGGUCCGAUCCCAAGAGACUUUUGCAAGCUUGACAAGCUUGAAUAUUUGGACCUUUCUAAGAACAACUUGUCUGGAUAUAUACCAUCUUGUUUCAGUCCACCGUCUCUAAACCAUGUGCAUCUAUCCGAAAAUAGAUUGAACGGUCCAUUAACAUAUGGAUUUUAUAACAGCUCUUUCCUGGUUACGAUGGAUCUUCGAGAUAACAGCUUCACCGGCUCCAUUCCAAAUUGGAUUGGCAAUCGUUCAUCAUUGAGUUUUCUUCUUCUAAGGGCUAAUCACUUUGAUGGUGAGCUCCCUGUUGAGUUAUGCUUGUUAGAAGAAUUAAGCAUUUUGGAUGUUUCACAAAACCAGCUUUCUGGUCCACUACCCUCCUGUUUGGGCAAUCUUACUUUCAAGGAAAGUUUCCGGAAAGUGUACGUUCUCAUAUUUUUGUAUUAAGGUCCAUAGCAGAUGCAUAUUAUGAAACAAUGGGUCCACCACUAGUGGAUAGUAUUGAUAGCUUGGAAAAGCAUUCUAUGCCUGACUUUGAAGAAGUGAUAGAAUUUACAACUAAAAAUAUGUAUUAUGGUUACAAGGGGACAGUUCUUAGCUAUAUGUAUGGUAUUGAUCUCUCGAAUAACAGCUUUGUAGGAGCAAUCCCACCAGAAUUUGGAAACUUAAGUGAGAUACUGUCAUUAAACUUAUCACACAACAAUCUCACUGGAUCUAUCCCUGCAACAUUCUCAAACCUAAAGCAUAUUGAGAGUUUGGAUCUUUCUUACAACAACUUGAAUGGUGCCAUCCCUCCACAACUUACUGAAAUUACCACACUUGAAGUUUUUAGUGUGGCGCACAAUAACUUGUCAGGCAAGACACCCGAGAGAAAAUUUCAGUUUGGGACCUUCGAUGAAAGCUGUUACGAAGGAAAUCCUUUCUUGUGUGGACCUCCAUUGCGAAACAAUUGUAGCGAGGAAUCAGUGCCAUCACAGCCAGUGCCUGAUGAUGAACAAGGAGAUGAUGGUUUCAUAGACAUGGAGUUUUUCUACAUCAGUUUCGGUGUAUGUUACACAGUUGUGGUGAUGACAAUUGCAGCAGUUCUCUACAUCAAUCCAUAUUGGCGACGCAGGUGGUUGUACUUCAUCGAAGACUGCAUAGAUACUUGCUACUAUUUUGUGGUGGCUAGUUUUCGCAAGUUCUCCAACUUCAGAAGGUGAAUUUGUUACUGGGGAGAUGGUCGUUCCUUGUUUGUGAUGAUUGUUUGUCUAGCUAUUGGUAAUUUGUAGUGUACUGUCUCUAAGCUCAGCCUUUCUAUUUGAUUAGUUAUUUGGGCUAAAUAUAUAAGCUGGACUUCUCAUUCCUGAAUCAUUAGGAAGGAAACUGAUUUGGAUUGGUCAUUUACUCGAGUGUGAUUACUCUUUCAACUCUCAAGACUUGUCUGAAAAUAAAUUGCCAAAACCACUACUAAAGUAUAAACAAAAUAUUCUAUGCCUUUGUUUCAAGGGCGACCCCACCUCAGUUAUUCAAUCAAAGCAUUGAAAUCGGAGCAAGAAGAUCCACCUUCUUCAACAGCCUUCCUGGCCGUUUCUUUGCUCUGCUACUCAUUUCCUCUGCUUCUUCACCCAUCAUAAUUUGAGUGAUUGCCUUCUCUACAGCUUCACUUUUAACAUGAUCUCCAUGCACUCUAAGCCAUUCCUCAACUCCAGUUUUUAAAACAUCAGUCACCAACUUUUCAUUAUAGAAUUGCUCAGCAAAUAUUGGUCUCCUAAGCACAAAAAAAUAAAAUUGUCCUUGUCAAACAUGCAGCUGUGACUUGAGACAUUCAAAAUUUCAACCUCAUUUUCUAUAAAAUUCAACAAUACUGGAUAUGGUCAUGAUUCAAUGGAAUAAUCCCCACUUAUUUUCUUGAGACCUUUUUCCAUUGAAAUCUUGCAAGACUAUGGCAUACAUGAACUCCAUCUAAUGAACAGUAAAUCAAAGAAAUUACCUUCUGAUAGAUCUCCUCUUGCCAAUCAGCGCCUUUUGCAUGUAGAAUCUAGGGAUGCUACAAAAAUUUCAAUGCAGACAACAAAAUGUUAGAAUUUAAAAGAGUUUGAUAACAAUGCGAGAAGAAAAACAAAAGGUAAGAUGUUUAGAAAUUCAAUGCUCCGCUGCAUUAUAACCUGCUGGAUCCAUGGGGCAGUGGGCAUGGCGUUUUGAGACCUGAUCUCCAUUGAAAGCAUCUCCAGAGAUAUUUUACGUAGAUAAUCAUACUGAAAUCAGAUAUUAAUAACAAAACAUUAGAUCUCAGAGCAAUCCAUGUUACAAGAGGAGGAAAAUGGAUAUAUGCUCUAUCAUUUCAUCUUUUGUGAGGAUAUACUUCUGUUUCCUCUCUUUUUAUUUAAUUAUUUAUGUAUUGAUUUGCUAUUUUCUUUUUGCACACUGCCCUUGUACUUGAGCUUGGUCACUCUAAAUAAAACACUUGUCAAGAGAAUUAACAAAAAGAUGCGAACUCCGAAUCAGCCUUGCAUACAGAGUGAACGGUGAGGAAGUGUACGCACACUACACCCACAUUUGUACAUGCAUAAAUGCACGUGUAUAUUCAUGUCAAGAGAAUAUCAUAAUUAUUGAACCUUGCAUUAGGCAAAUACCUGAUUGGUGGCGGUAGUAUAAAUCUUUUCCUCAAAACGUAUGGCAAAUUUCUUGAGUUCUUGUAAUCCCUCCUGACCAGAAAACAAAAGAUGCCUCUUUAUUGUCUCCAUUCUGCACAUGCAAAUCAUUACGUUUCAUUUUUAAUGACCAGGCAAGUAUAGAGAAGUUAGCAGCAGCGAGCAAGAACCCUGAAUUCAUAAACCACACCAAUAUCAGAAAUGUGUGGAAUCUUUAGCAAAAAGUAAAACAAAUUAUGAGAUAAGCAAGAGUUGGUCAAGUAUUAUAAGACAUCAAAAUACAUAGACAUCCUUUCCCUGUAUUAUUCCAGAGGUACAGAUUAUAGGAGUUUACUUGGCCACCCUUCUGUCUAAAAAUUCUAGCUACGAGCUUCAUAUAUUAGUGACUUAGUUGCAAAGCAGGGGAGUCUGUGAAAACAUUACAAUAGCAUUUGCUCUGAGUAACUUCUACGCAUGUGCUGUAAUUGACAAAGAAAAGAAGAGAAAUCCUUUCAAUAUGAAAAUGCAACGAGUUAACCUUGUCUCACACUGCAAUAUAUACUCUACAGUAUUCAUUGACCAAUGCAAGUGCCAACAGUAGCUGUCUAUAUGAUUUUGGAUGUAGAGAGGUCAACAAAACAUUCAACUUUAUGCUGAGAAACUAGGAAACCAUGCACCAUUGUGGCUAAUUGAUUUUUGUCUGCUGCUUUUCAACUUUAAGAUCACUAUCAUUUCAACCCUGUAGAAGCAUAGAAGGUCCAAAUCCAACACCAUUCAUUUAAGUUCAGUUGCAACUCGAGUUUUAAAUUGAAACAUGUAUGCUCAUAGCAAAAGAUUAACCUUGAAAUUAAAAUCGGAACAAGCUUCAUGCAGCCAUCCAAGAGGUCAUCAUCAAAAGAAGAGAUUACACAAGAAAUUCCAAAAAAAUUACUUCCCAGCACUUUAUGUUCCCUCAAGUUUGCUUCUCGUGAGAACACAUGAAAAGAUGAAACAAAAAAAAAGAGGUGUGUGAUACUUGAUCUUGCCUCAUGGCAAUCCUGCUGAUUUUAAUUAACCCUUUGUCGUUCUCCUUUUCUUUCAUAUAAAUAAAAAUUUACUAUUUUGCAGCACUUGCACAUACAUUUUGUCGACUAUUCUUUUCCGUGAGUCAGGCCGCAAUUGAAUUCUCCAAUCACCCGUGUCCAUGACAGGUUCUCCGCCUGGGACAGUGGGCCAACCAAAAGGAAAAAAAAAAUCAUAUUGCAUGUUAGAAAAGACCCUAAAGAAAAGUCAGGAACGGCAAGAAGAGCAAAAGCACAUCAGACAUGAAAAUGGAAUAUCAGUUUAUUCAGACUUGAAUAGAUUUAAAAGAACUUCGGUCUAAUAUCAUGUACUUUAUUAAAGAAUUCAGCCAAAUAUGGAUGCAUAACAAAUAUACACAACCAUUCAGGUCAAGGUGCUAGGAUCCUUGGUAUUCGGCCAUUCAAAGCAAAGAAUCUUCAUGGUGCUUCUAAACCAAAGAAGCAUUCCCUUCUAAGCAAGUACUUACUGUCAAACCCCACUCCCCUGUUGAAUAUUAAACUCAAUCCAGAAGCUCCUAGAAGGUCAAGGAAGUCAACUAGCCACCAGCCACCAGCCGCCAACCAGCCAUCAGCCGCAGCCGCCAGCCACCAGCCGCCACAGCCGCCAGCCGCCUUCACACUUGAAGGUUGAAAAUUCUUGUUUUGAAUUCGUGUAUAAAUAGAGUGUCCAGCUUAUGUUAUUUGUGUGGAGAGAAUUGAGAGAAACACUAGAAAAAAAAUAGAGAAAGAAUAAAUAUUUACUUCUCUGAAAGAAUAAAUAUUGUAGGGAGCAAAUAGUGUAAAUAGAAAGAGGAAAAUACCACAUCCCCAAAAGAAUAAAGAAAUAAGAAGAAGACAAAACAAAGUCAUAAAACGAGGCCUUUCAAUCCCCAAUGAAUAUCAGCAGACUAAAUACCACAGCACAAAUAGAAGAUAAAGAGGCCAGAAACACUAACCCAUCCCAAAGAGAUUGUCUAGGAUGUUUUAAUAAAGGAAAGAAGAAGAAGAAAACAACGAGCAUUAACAAUGAAUAUUUCAUGUUAUCAUCAACUCUAAAGAGCAGACUGAUAAGAAUCAACUUAACAAAUUUACAGGCACAUCUUUCUUUGAACAGACAACACAAUAACCCUGACCAUACUACAUGCUCCACCCACAGUAGAAUCGGCUGAUUGCGCCUUUCUUCGAGUUGCGUUCACGAGCAGCGAUUUCAUCGAUCCGAUUAUAUAUCUUUUUAAUUUACUUAUUAAAAUAGAAUUUAUCUCUCUGGAUAAGAAUUUCAGUUAAAUAAAUCAAAACGCAGACGUAAAUUUUAAAAAUAAAAAACAUAAUAGAAAAGGAAGCACCUGGUGGAGAUUUGAAGACUUAUUGGUUGAGGUGGCGGCGGUUUCCUAGAGCGGAGGAGGGAAAGAGAGCUCAGGUGGAGAGAGGUGAGGAAUGUCGGACCAAAGUGAACAGAGCUUGACAGAUGACUUUCUGUUUUAAUAUGAAUAUUCUAGUUAACUUACAUAUACCUCUAAUAAUUUUACAAACCCUAAAUUUCACAAUCAUAUAAAUAUUUAUAUAAAUAUCUAAAAAAAUUUAAUACUAAAAUUAGUGAUAGAUUCGCUAACAAACUAAAAGAAAUGUAUUCACUGUGCUGCUUUACUGUUCAUAACUAACAAACUAAAACUAAAACUAAAAGAAUUAUAUAUAUAUAUAUAUAUAUAUAAGAGUGCUCAUUAAAACACGGUGCACUGUGUGUGAAUCCUGUGGCUUCACAGUCUUCACCGCGCUUCCUCUCUGUUUUUCGCCUUUCUUCUCGCGCGGUGGGUGUCCCGCGCUUUCUUCUCGGCUGCUUAGGCUCCCUGGCGUCUUUUCAUCGACUUUGUCUGGUGCAUGUUCAGAUUGAGGCGGGGUGCUAGGCGCGCGAGGAGAUGUCAGCCGACGGGUAAUCACCUGCAUCGGCUGGGAUGGCUUCAUUGAAGCUGUCCUCUUGGUCUGUGGCGGGCCUACUCAUCAAUGAAAAAUUUAUUCUAACUGAGACAUUGUUUUUGUUUUUGUAAACUCUUUUCUAUUAUAUUUUUUUUAUCCAAAUUUUUAUAGAAAAUUAAUCAUUGUCUCAAUUUAAUUUUUAUUUUGAUUAUUGAUUUAUAUACAUGAUUUAUAUUAUGUGGAAACUUGAUCAUUAUAGUAAAAAGAAACAAUAAUUGAUUAUAUGUUGAAAUAGAUUUAAAAAACAGUUUAAUUUUAAUAGAAAAAGUAAAGUGUAUAUAUCUUCUGUUAUUUGUGUACUUAUUGUCUUGAUUCUACUGGGAAAUAAAUUUUAUGUUGCAUGGUAUUUUCCUUUGUUGUUGCGUUGAUAGGAAAAAAAAAAACAGAAGAUGGGGAAAAAAAGGUUGCAUAUCUGGAUAAUAAUUACUAGUGAAAUAAUAUAUGUAAAGUGAAAUUAUAGUUUACAAUCUGGUCUCUGAGAAAAUGAAUCUUGUUAUAAAUAAAUUAUAAUUGUAAACACUUGUAAGUUUAGAUAAACUUCUAAUAUUGGUGAUGUAUUGUUACCAAGAAAACAAAUCUGAAAAAAGUAAAAUCUUCAAGUGGUGUAAUUUCUUAGUAUGGAUUCAUCAAGAGCAUUGUAUUUUUCACUUAUAUUAGUAAAAGAGUACAAUACUCAAAUAUAAUUAGUACUUGAGGUGUGGAUGUAGACUUACCAAACCAUCUUACCAAACCAUCGUAGAAAUUAAGUUUGCAAUCUCUCUUUUCUUAUCUAUUUACUUUUAGUACUUCAAUUAUAUUGUUGGUUAUUGUGUUAUAUGUGUUUAGUGUGUUUAUUUGCAUUAUUUUGAUAUAAUUAAUGCAACACCUAAUCCAUCCCUCUUAGAUGCUAUUGUUGUUUUAAUUAUCAAUCGUAUUUAUUUUUUAUCAUAACUUUAGAAGAGUGCAUAAUGUUUUCUUAUGUUGAUGUCGAAAGAAAAAUAUUUAUAAUUAUUUGUAUUGUUAUAGUUUCUAUUGAAAAUUACAUUGUGUCUCAUAGAAAAACAAAUAAAUAAAUAUAUAAUGGCAAAGUUAAAUUGUUUUUUGCAAAAUUAGUGUGUUAAAUUUUUGUGAUUCAUUUUAAUUAAUAUUAUUUGAGAUUAUAUAAAUGUGAUAUAUAAUUGCAAAGUUAAUUUUAUUAUUGAGAUAAUAGAUGGAUAAAACUAUUGUUAAUGAUUUCAAUGUACUUGUUAACCUAGUAAUCUUUGUGGUAUAGAUGGCAAACCCGAUUUCUAAACAUUUUUCAUGCGGGGAAAAAACCAAAAUAAUUGGAGACACAAUGUAAUUUUCAAAUAUAAAGCAUGAUGAAUUAAAUUCUCUCAAGAUUCCUAAUGGUAGUGGUGUCUGCAAAAAGAAGUUCAAAGAAACUUGUUUUGUUUGUAAAAAGCAAAGACAUCAUUGUAUUAUCACUGUAAAGGAAAAAAAUACACAAAGCAAUAUUAAGAAAUUAUAUUAUGAAUAAAACACCUUAUAAGAAAUUGAGCAAGAUAUCGUAUGAGUUGUUGAAUGUUCAAUCAUCAUCCUAUAAAUACAUUAAAGUGUGGGAGUGUCUAGAAAAAAUUACAUUGCUCCACCAAAAAAAUUUAAAAAUAUAGAUUGUAUUAUAUAAGAUAUGAAACUAUAUUUGAAGGGUAUAGCGAUAGUAAUUAGAUAUCCAAUAUUAAAGAUUCAAAAUCCACAAAUAGAUUUAUCUUUGUUAUCGGAGAAGCUAUAGCCUCUUGAAAAUUCUUUAAACAAACAUGCAUAUCCGUAUCCAUGAAGGAAUUUGAGUUUACAACUUUAGAUAAAGGAAAGAAGUAGAAUAACUUCUAAAACCUUAUUGAGGAUAUUCGAAUUUACAAUUGAAAGGGCAUAAUAUAUAUAACUGCAAGUACUGACAUAAUUGUCAAUAUUGUAAGAUAGUUGAUCUAAAAUGAGAUUAUUUUUAUUGACCAUAUAAAGUUAAAUGAUAAUAUCAUGGAUUCGCUAAUAAAAUGCUUAACAAUAGAGCAAGUCAAUAAUCAUCGAGGGGAAUGAGAUUAAGACACAGUUCAAUGAAUUGUCAUGAUAGCGACCCAGCCUAGUUUAUUGGAGAUCCCAAAUUUAGGUUCAAAGAGGCAACCAAAUCAUGUGUCAAUUCAAUAAUAUCCCUCUUACUCAUUCAUAUGAUAUAAAGUGUUAUUUGCAACGAAAAUAGGAUAAGCUAAGCUUUUAAUGACUUUUAUAGCUUGAGAAAUUCAAGUGAGGUAUUACAUGGUACUCUUAAUAAGAAUCACCUAUGUGAGUAUGAAACAAGGCCACUUCUAUGAGAAUUGAAAAUGCAAAUUCUCUAACGCUCUUUGAAAUCAAGACAUAUUUGAGGCUAAAAUGAACACAACCGUGAGAACCAAAAUUAUAAGAAAAUAAACUGUGUAAUCUCUAUUAUCUGGUUUCACACAAAAGGUUAAACAACUCAAGACAUCAUGUUCGCUAGUUAGCCAAGUGAAUCCAAUAGUUUUAAUUAUGGAAGGUUCAAGGCUAAAAACUAUCUUGUUGGAUGCAAUGACUUUUCGCUACUAGUCUCUAUUUAUUUGCCUACUUUGUAUUUUAUUCAGAUCAAACAAUUUUUAUCAUGUGGGGGGAUUGUUAGGGUAUGAAUGAAAAGUCGUGUACUUUUAAAUUAGAAAGUUGUAACCUUUUAUCUUAAAAGCUAUGUUAAAAUUAAAUGUCAGAAUUACCUAUAAAAAAGACACAAUUCUGAUAUGAUUUUGAUAAUGAAGAAACUUCUAGUCUUUUUAAAACUCUUCUCUUUUACAUUUUUUCAGUCAAAAUUCUUAUAGAGAGUAACAUGCAAAUUGUGGUUUGUCAUUUAUUCUUGGUUGUGCUAUCAAGAAUUAGAGAUUGAGUAAGCUUGAAAAAUAAUAUUACAAUCACAUUGCUAGCACCAAAGAGCAGGUAAUAAAUUGUUUUAUGAUAAUUUAUCGUCAAUUUAUUGAUUUUAAUUUGUGACUAUCCGUACAAAAUAGAUCUCAUAGACCUAUUAAAAUUGAAAAUGGUAAUGAGAUUUCUAAAACUAUAAGUGAAUAUAUGGAAAAUAUUCAAAAAAUUACUUUUUAUGAAUGUUAAAGCCAUGAAUAUUUUAUAUUAUACAUUGGGUAAAAGUGAAUUUGAUAGAACUAUAUUAUACAAAAACGCUUAGAGAUAUAUAGCAUGUUUUACAAGUAAUUCAUGAAGGAACUAAGAAGUCAAAAAAUUUAAAAUUGACAUGUUAAUUCAUACUAAAAUAACUAAUAGUUUAUUAGUUUGGAUGUUUUUAGUAAUGCUGAAAUUAUAGAGAAUUGAUCAUUAAGUUGAUUUUUUAAUAUGCGUAGAAAUCAGAUCAGUAUAAAUUUAAUAAACUAUUUAAAGUUUUCCAUUUCUUUAUAAAAAAAAUAUUUCUUGUGCUUGGGAACACAUCUUUUUGGCUUUAGAGAUGAUAGAAAGCAUUGCUUUUAAAGGCGACAUUGCUCUUUAUGGUUUUUUCGACAUGGGUUUCCUUAAAAAAGUUUUAGUUUUUGCUUGUUUAUUUAUGUUGCCCAUCCAUAUAGAUAUUACAAUAGGUUUUUAUAGAGGUAACUUGGUGAGGAAAAAACUUCGUGCCACGAAAAUAAGAGGCUGGAGUUUUAUUUUGCUUUAGAUUCUUCCCUUAAUUCCAGCCGUGGUUUGUUUUCAGUUCUUUGGUCUUUCUUUUCAUUAGUCUUUGAUUUUUGUUGGAUUCUUGCUUUGUGUUAGGUUGUACGAGGAUUUUCCUUUUAAAAAAAAAAAAACAUCUUGUGUUUAGGAACACAGCUUUGUACCUUUGGAGAUGAUAGAAGGCUUUGAUUUCGAAGACAACACUUUUUAAAAAAGUUUUUUCGACUUGGGUUUCCCUGAAAAAAUGUUUUCUUUUUGCAUGUUUGUUUGUGUUGGUCAUACAUGUGUCGCAGCAAGUCUUUGUAGAGGUCACUUGAGGAAAAAAAAUGUCAGGAAAAACAGAGGCUGAAAUGUUCUUACCUCAGUUUCAACCAUUGUUUGCCUGUAGGUUGAGGUUGAUAAGUUGUGUGUGUUUUUAGAUGGAUCUGAAUCUUUGUAUUGCUUUUACGUACGAAGCACGAAUUGAACAUCUUGCAGUGGGGCUGUCCAGAUUUUUCAAUAUGGUUGAGUUCAUUCUUAGCCAUGUAAAACCUCUUCGUUGUAGAAAAUUAACAUGAUUAAGUAUCAGGGAGUUUUUUUCUAGGUCGUUGUUGUUGCUGUUGUUAGACAAAUGUUGUCGUUUAUAGACCUUUUCAGUCCUCAAAAUUUAUAAUAUGGUCAUGAAUGGCAUAAGAUGUUUGUUCAUCUUUUUUUAAGAUUCUGAAAAGUAAAUAUAUGCUUCUCCGUUAUCAUUGCAAUGUUAUUUCACUCUUACAAAUAUUUUAGCAAAUUAAGUGCCACAUCUAAUUAGAUGUUUCCCUAUCAUCAAAACCCUUGCUAAAUUUGAUGCUUGGAUCCUUACGAGCUUAGGGUUUGCUUUCUCCCCUUUCAUUUUAAACUUUAUAUUCAUCUUUUAACUGUUUUUAUCUUACCUUUACUUAAUCAUGUUAUAACAUGAAGAGGAUGUCGAUAACUUCCUCUUAGUUGGCGAGUCUGUGGAGAACUUCUUUGGCUCAUCAGCACAACAUUAUGUGUACGUAAGAGAGUACAAUAAUCCUUCCAUUAUCAAACCUCUGAUGAUAGCAAAGCUUAACAAAACCAUGAUUUCUUAGCUUAGAUUUGACGUGUUCAUACUUGGCAUUAAUUAAUGGCUGCAAGAUUGUCGUUUCCAAUGUCUUUAAAAAUGUCGCUGAAAACAAUCUCGAUAGGCUGCCUCAACAGUGAGGACCAUCUGGAGCAGCUGCUGCACCAGACAUCCACUGCUUCGUGUUAGGAUACUGGCAUGCAAACCCGACAAGACAAAAGGUAAGGGACAAGAUAAAAUGAGAAGUGACACACAAGAAUUUACAUGGUUCACCCAAUUAGGCUACGUCCACGGGCAAGUAUAGAAGGAUUUUACUAGUAAUGUGGGAAUUACAACCUCUCUCAAAUAAUAGGAGAACAACUAAGAAUCUCUCUAUUACUAGGAGAAAACACCUCACUUACUCUCUCACAAAUACCUCACAAUUUUGUGGGAUUACUUUCCCUCUCUCACUCUUCUCUUCCUCUCUUGUUUCUCUCUUGUGGUGUGUUUUCAAUGCUUGGAUGCAUUGCCUAUUUAUAGGCAAGCAUCCAUGCAAGAGCAAGUGGCCAAGUUGGUUAAGGCACCUCCACCAAGGUAGGCACCUCCACCCAAGGUAGGCACCUCCACCAAGGUAGGCACCUCCACCUAUCUUCACAUUCUCCCACUUGAAGACUUUGAUGAUUGAAUCAAGUCUUCACACUUCAUCAUUUGUGAUUCUUCUAUCCUUUCAAUACUUGCCAUCUUUAUGCUGCUUACGUUUCUGCUAGGCCACAAGAGGAUCUGCACCAUAUAUACUUAUCAGUGUUGACUGGUUUGGUUAAAGCAUCUGCUGGGUUUUCCUUUGUGUGAACCUUCUGAAAAUCCACACUUCCAUCUUCCACCACUUCGCGAACAAAGUGAUACUGAACAUCUAUAUGUUUUGUUCUUGAAUGAAACGCUGGAUUCCUUGCAAUAUGCAAGGCACUCUGACUAUCACAAUACACAAGAAUCUUCUCUUGUUUGUGCCCGAGCUCCUCCAUAAGUUUCUUCAGCCAUAUUGCUUCUUUACAAGCUUGUCUAGCUACCAUAUACUCAGCUUCUGUUGUGGAUAACGCUACAACAGUCUGAAGUUUAGAGACCCAGCUCACAGCUCCUCCUGCAAUUAUGAACACAUAGCCUGUAGUGGAUUUUCUUUUCUCAAGGUCACCAGCAAAAUCUGAGUCAACAUAACCUCUGAUAGUAAAUUCUGAUCCUCCAUAACAUAAUGCGGCAUCUGAGGUACCCUUGAUGUAUCUCAAGAUCCUCUUAAUAGUAUUCCAAUGCUCUCUACCAGGAUUUGACAUGUAUCGACUAGCUGCUCCCACUGCUUGUGCAAUGUCUGGUCUUGUACAUAUCAUGGCAAACAUUAAACUUCCCACUGCUGAUGCAUACGGUACUCGAGACAUCUCCAUCCUCUCUGCUUCAUUGCUAGGAGACAUACUUGAGGAUAAUUUGAAGUUAACAGGAAGUGGGGUGGAAAUUGGCUUACAAUCUUGCAUGUUGAAGCGUCGCAAGAUCUUCUUUAAAUAAUUCUUCUGAGAAAGCCAAAUCUUCCUCUUACUUCUGUCUCGGUGAAUUUGCAUCCCUAGAAUCUUGUUUGCUGGUCCCAAGUCCUUCAUAUCAAACUCCCUAGCCAACUGUGCCUUCAAUUCUUGGACUCGAUCUUUGUUGGGGCCUAUUACCAACAUGUCAUCCACGUACAACAACAGAAUGAUGAAAACAUCAUUUUCUUCAAACCUCUUGUAAUACGUACAAUGGUCUGAACUGAGUCUGUUGUACCCAAGGCUAAUUAUGAAGGAAUCAAAUCUCUUGUACCAACACCUCGGCGCCUGUUUGAGACCGUAUAGAGAUUUGUUCAACCUGCAAACCAAGUUCUCUUUGCCUGUUUCAGCAAAACCCUCUGGUUGGAGCAUAUAAAUUUCUUCUUCAAGUUCUCCAUGAAGAAAUGCAGUUUUCACAUCUAACUGCUCUAAGUGAAGAUCAAAUAUAGCACACAUUGCCAAGACUACUCUGAUUGUAGUAAGUCGUACCACCGGAGAAAAUAUCUCAUUAAAGUCUAUUCCUUCUUUCUGAGCAUAUCCUUUCACCACCAAUCUUGCACGAUACCGCUCCACUUGAUCAUUGCCAUCACGCUUUAUCUUGUAAACCCAUUUGUUGCCAAUGGCCUUUCUUCCUUGUGGUAGCGGAACAAGAUCCCAAGUGUUAUUCUUGUGCAGAGCUUCAAUCUCCUCUUGCAUUGCUGUCAUCCACAUAGAUACAUCUGUGCUUUUGAUAGCCUCAUGGAAAGUUGAUGGCUCUCCAUCCUCUGUUAGAAGACAGUAUGCAAAUUGCUCUCAGUAACAUAUUCUGAGUGCCAAGCCGGUGGUCUUCUUUCACGAGUUGACCGUCGAACUUCAGGAGUUUCAGACUCUAUUUGUUCUUGUUCUUCAUGCUCUGGUGCAGCUUCAGAAGAAGUAUGAUUCUGAGUAUUUUCCAUCUGGACUUCUGUAGUCUCCUUUAAAAUGCUAUUAUUUUCUUCCAUUUGCAUUUUAUCUUCUGCAAAUAUGACAUCUCUGCUGAUGACUACCUUGUGGGCAGUGGGAUCCCACAAGCGAUACCCCUUCACUCCAUCAGCAUAUCCCAAGAAUACACAUUUUCUGGAUUUUGAAUCCAGCUUGCUGACCUCUUGAGUAUUGUACAUCACGUACACAGGACUUCCAAAUAUAUGCAAUCGAGAAUAAUCAGCUGGCUUUCCAGUCCACAUCUCCAUCGGUGUCUUCAACUCAAUUGCAGUUGACGGAGAUCGAUUUAUCACAUAACAGGCGGUAUUGACUGCUUCUGCCCAGAAUGACUUUUCUAGACCUGCAGCCUUCAACAUUGCUCUUGUUCUUUCCAAUAGAGUUCUGUUCAUCCGCUCUGCCACUCCAUUUUGUUGUGGAGUGUAUGCCGUUGUGAACUGCCUUUUGAUACCUUCAUGUUGACAGAAGUUAUCAAAUUCAUCACUGGUAUAUUCUCCUCCAUUGUCAGUCCUCAAACACUUGAUCUUCUUUUCAGAUUCAAGUUCUACCCGCUUUGAAGGUUUUAAAAACUGCGAACACAUCUGCCUUCCUUCUAAUCGGAUACACCCAACAUCUCCUGGAGAAGUCAUCUAUGAAUGAUACAAAGUAUCUUGCUCCUCCCAAGGAUACAACCGGUGCUUGCCAAACAUCAGAGUGAAUCAGGUCUAAGAUGCAUUUGCUCUUAGUUGUUGACGUGCCAAACUUCAACCUGUGUUGUUUACUUGUAACACAGUGCUCACAAAAAGGUAAAGUAACCUUUGUAAGCCCAGGGAGUAACUUCUGAUCAGAGAGAACCUUUAAACCUUUCUCUGACAUGUGGCCUAGUUUUUGAUGCCACAUCAUCGUCUUCUCUUCUGCAGGACUGGCUGAUGCGAUUGAUGCUUCUGCCCCUGAUGUGUUUCUCCCAUUAAUACAAACAUGUUUGCAACUGUCUUUCUUGCCUUUAAAACCACCAGCGCGCCUUUGACAAUUUUCAUGAUUCCAUUGUCUGUUCGGAUCUUACAGCCAAGACUAUCAAAUUGUCCUACGGACAAAAGAUUCUUCUUUAAGUCUUUCACAUGUCGCACUCCUGAAAUAGUACGAAUUAAGCCAUCAUACAUCUUCAAUUUGAUGGUGCCAAUGCCAGAAAUCUCUACAGCAUGAUUAUCACCCAUGAACACUGUGCCUCCAGAGAUAGGUUCAUAUGUAUGGAACCAAUCUCGUCUAGGGGUCAUAUGCCAUGUUGCUCCUGAAUCCAUUAGCCAGACCUCAGUGAGCUCUUCUCUAUCUGUAGAGAUUGUUGCUGCUUCACUAUAUAAAAUCUCCAUCUUCUGAGGUGCUUGCAACACAUCCUUGAGGUUUUGAUGACUCUGCAGUAUUCUCUAUACCCUUUUUAAACCAACAAUCCUUUUUGAAGUGCCCUUUUCUGCCACAGUUGUAGCAUUUCACAACUUCUUACUUCUUGAUUUGGACCUCCCCUGCCUUUGACUCCCACUGAGCCACGUUCCGUUGAUCUUCCUCUUGACACCAACAAUGCCUCAGCUUGGUUUGAACUGUUUCUGUCUCCUUUGUUUUUGCGCCUAUUUUCUUCUUCCAAGAUAGCAGCUGCAACAUCAUCGAAGACUAAAUAGUCUGAGAGGAUAUUAUUGGUCAAGUUGAUAAUGAGCUGAUCAUACGAAUCAGGAAGACUUUGAAGUAGAAGCUCUGCACGUUCAUGUUCCUCUAUUUGUUGACCCAAUAGUGAGUUGUGAAAAUAGAGUUCUUAUUGUGUUGAUGUGGUCAGUCACCGACGUGGUUUCUGCCAUUCGAAGGGUAUAAAGUCUCCGCUUUAAGAAAAUCUUGUGCAAAGACUUGGACUCGUAUAGCUUUGUUAGAGUCUCCCAUAUCUCCUUAGCUGUUUUCUUCUCCGCCACACUUGAUAAUACUUCAUCAGCUAAUGCUAAAUGUAUGUUAGCAAUAGCAUUGCCAUCCAUCUCAUUCCAUUUUGCAUUAUCAGUGAUCUCCGCGGGCCGAUCCCCAAUUGCUGCCAAGCAAUUGUCUUUCCUCAAGAUUGCCUUGAUUCUCAUUUUCCACAGUGAGAAAUUGCUCCCCUUGAACCUCUCAAUCUCGUACUUUGCUGCCAUUGUAUUCACCGAGAUCUAUUCAGCUAUCACCGUUUCACAGAUCUGUAACGUAUAUAGAAAUAGUAUCGUGUGAAUAAUACUUCACUAAGUAAGUUCCCAGGAAAGAUUGGAGGGGUCACAAACGGUCCCGCUUAAAACCCAAUCUCCUUAGACAGAACUUCCUAGACUGUAUUUAAUCACCGCACUGACUUUCUAUAUACGCCAACAGUAACGUAAGUGAACAGUACCGUAUGGAUGAAUAGUACCGUAUAGGUGAAUAGUGACCGUAUACACGAAUAACUUUUGUGUGUUGACAACACCAACCAAGAAGGCUCUGAUACCACUGUUAGGAUACUGGCAUGCAAACCCGACAAGACAAAAGGUAAGGGACAAGAUAAAAUGAGAAGUGAUACACAAGAAUUUACGUGGUUCACCCAAUUAGGCUACGUCCACGGGCAAGUAUAGAAGGAUUUUACUAGUAAUGUGGGAAUUACAACCUCUCUCAGAUAAUAGGAGAACAACUAAGAAUCUCUCUAUUACUAGGAGAAAACACCUCACUUACUCUCUCACAAAUACCUCACAAUUGUGGGAUUACUUUCCCUCUCUCACUCUUCUCUUCCUCUCUUGUUUCUCUCUUGUGGUGUGUUUUCAAUGCUUGGAUGCAUUGCCUAUUUAUAGGCAAGCAUCCAUGCAAGAGCAAGUGGCCAAGUUGGUUAAGGCACCUCCACCCAAGGUAGGCACCUCCACCUAUCUUCACACUUCGUUUAGAUAAAUUUGACAUAAUUAUAUUAAAUAAAAAUGCUUAGAGAUAUAUAGCAUGCUUUACAAUAAGUAACUCAUAAAGAAAAUAAUAAGUAAAAAAAAUCUAAAAUUACAUGUUAAUUCAUCAAUAUGAAUUGUUCAAAAUGUUUAGUGACUUCAUAACUAAAAUGUUUAUUAAAAUGACUAAAAUAAUUAAUAGUUUAUUAGUUUGGAUGUUUUUAGUCAUGCUGAAAUUACAGAGAAUUGAUCAUUAAGUUGAUUUUUAUAUAUGCAUAGAAAUCAGAUCAUUAUAAAUUUAAUAAGCUAUUUAAAGUGUUCCAAUGGAAAGAAAAUAGGUGUUGUGAAUUUGAGUCUGCAUUUUUCUUUACCUUCUUUUUGGUGUUUUUUGUUCGUCCCUUCUUGAAAAUUUAUGCUCAGUUUUUGCCUUUUACCUGCCGCUUAGUUUAGGGUAUUAAAUUUCUUUGUUUCUUCGGAAGAUGCCUUAAUCUUUGUUGAUUGUCUUUCCGUUUUUAGUUGCAUUGUUAGGCUAUAUGUGUGUUUAUUGGGGCUUUGGCUGCCUUUUUUGCUACAGUUAUGAGGUUUCUUGGGCAUAGUCUUUUGGUUAGCUUCAGCCCUCUGUUAUCCAUUCUUUAUAGAGGUGGUGUUGUCUUUGUUUCGCACAAGGUGGCACGUGUCUUGAAAGGAAGUUUACUUGGUUUUCUUUACAUGUGUUUCUUGCAUGCUACUUGUUUGGCAAAAGUCUUCUGAGAGAUCGACCUUGUUUGGCACUAAUCAAUGCAAGAUUGUCGUUGAAACAUAUGAUUUUGACAUGUGAUAGUCUGGUCCAAUUGCUUAACAUGCCUCGUAUUUUCGCACAUGAACCAGCCGGAUACCUUUUUUCUUUAAUGUUCCUAUCACAAAAAAAAAAAAUGAAAAACAAAAAAAUGCUUCACUAAUAAUAUCAGGCUUGACCCUAUAGCUUAUGUUUCAUCACAGCAGAUUAAAUAAGGUUCUAGAUAACAGGAUAUAGGAGUUUACUUGGCCAUUCUAGUUACGAGCUUCAUGGUUAAUUUUCUUGAACCCGAAGAACCUUCCAUUUAUGGCUAUGGCUAUGCUCCAAGAUAUAUAAGUGAAUUAGUUGCAAACCAGGGGAACUCUGUGAAAACAUUACAAUAGCAUUUACUCUUGAGUAAGAAAACUUUUAUGCAUGCACUGUAAUUGACAAAGAAAAGAAGAGAAAUCCCUUUAAUUUAUGAAAAUGCAACGAGCUAGUUAACCUUAUCUCACUCUGCAAUAUAUAUCAGUGCUCAUUGGCUACUGCAAGUGCCACAGUAGCUGUAUAUGAUUUUGGAUGUAGAGAGGUCAACAAAACAUUCAACUUUAUACUGAGAAACUAGGAAACCAUACACUAUAUAUUGUGGCUAAUUGAUUUUUGUCUAAUGCUUUUGUACUUUUAAGAUCACUAUCACCUCAACCCUGUACAAGUUAAAACAAAUAGAAGGCCCCAAAUCCAACACCAUUCAUUUAAGUUCAGUUGCAACUCAAGUUUCAAAUUGAAACACCAGUGCUCAUAGCAAUAGAUUAACCUUGAAAUUUAAAGCGGAACAAGCUUCAUGCAGCCAUCCAAGAGGUCAUCAUCGAAAGAAGAUGUUACACAAGAAGUUUCAACAAAAAUUACUUCCCAGCACUUUUUAUUCCCUCGAGUUCCCAUCUUGUGAGAAACACGUGAAAAAUAAAAAAGACAAAAACGAAAGAAGAUGACAUCCUGUCAUUGCUACCAAAUCCUCACCAGCUGCAGAACCAGCAAUUCUGUCAAUCAUACUGACAACGGAGCCAAUGUCACCGACAGAUGCACUAAGUGCUAUGGGAGACAGAUUUCACCUGGGAAAAAAAAUUACAGCAUCACCAUCUCAUUCACAAAGAAGUUUCUUUCUUUUUCAGAAACCUCCAAAAUAAGGGUGGGGUGGAGUAAAACCAAAAGGAGAGCAUCACUAACCGCUUCAAUCAAGUACUCAAGCGGUUGCUCUGUAACAUUUGACUUUGCCAGAAACAGUUGUCAAAGCACCGCCAUGAGCACCAUCAUAUUGGACUGCCAAUUGGUAAAGUCUGCAAGCAAAGGUGAUGCAGGUAUCCCAGGAGUGCCAAUUGCAAGGGAGGGAGCCGCAACAGAUGGUUGGUGUAAAAUCAUAUUGGAAUUCGACUGAAGGGGAAUAUUUGGCUGCAGCAUACUCGCCCCACUUUGUGUUGACAAUGUGUUAACAUUGAUUGGUUGGGAAAUGCUCACGAGAUUCUGUUGGGCAGAUCCUACAGGUGUCUGCUGCAAUGAGCUCAGUGCAUUUCCUUGUCCAGAAUCUAAAUUGAGCCUGGUGUAUUGGAUUCAUCAUGUGAUUGUGACGUCGAAUCCCCAGAUAAAGUUGAAAGAGAAUUAUUCAGCAAGCUUGACAUAUUGUUCUGCUGCAUCUUGGUACAGAACCUUGCAUAUUCAUUGAUUGCAACUGGGGAUUCAGUUGAUUUUCAUGGGACUGCAAUUGAGGAACUUGAGAUUGGGGGUGCUGCAUAGGUUGAAUAUGAGGUUGGGGAAGUUGUCCUUGCUGUAGAUUAGGAGUAGGCGUCCUGUAUCUGCUUGGGUUUAGAAAACCUACAAUCUGCUUCUCAUAGAAACCCAAUUUCUCCUUGAAAGUAGGUGUGAUGUUGUUUUU
Molecule: long non-coding RNA, 56794 nt
Filed under: Populus tremula
Lineage: Eukaryota; Viridiplantae; Streptophyta; Magnoliopsida; Malpighiales; Salicaceae
Description: long non-coding RNA (PTRE_LNC002046)
Source: RNAcentral